ACCCAUCCAUCUAUGGCCCAUCGCCGCCUUCUUUUCUGAAGAUUUUUGAGCCCCCCCCCCCUCCGAGAAGUAACUACGGGGUUGAGAUGAUGACAGGCUGACAGACAGCUUAGCUAGCUUCAUAUAUGUUGCGUCGCAUGUACUAUGAUGUAGGAGACCUCUAUUGUUAGUCCUGUCCUGGUUUAUCUAAAGUUAUUGCCAAAGAUGCUGCUACCAAGUUUCUGCCAUGCAGCAUAGAAUGUGUUUUUCGUAUCCUGACCGUCUUGUGCCGCAGACAUUAGGGAAAUAUUGCCGCCUGGUGCGGUCAUAAUCUGAGGUUGUUUUGCUGCCUGGUCAGGCAUCGUUGGUUCAGACUUCAGAGGCGUUUGGUAACCAAACUACCCCAAGUUUCCUGGUGGUUUAAACUUUCUCCUUUUGGUACAGAAUCCGAUGAUUCUCUCGUGUCGUGGUUCUGUGCAUCAUGUAGUAAUGUGUACGCGGUGUCUCCCCACUUCUCCAAUGUCUGGGUGGUUGCCGUGCAUCAUGUAAUUAUGUGCGGUUUCUCCCCGUCCUGAAACGCAAGUAAGAGCAUCUCCAGCCGUUCGCAACCCCAAGAACACCACCGAACCAAAAAAGUUGGUGUCUUGAGGGUCAUUCGGCGAAAUAAAGAAGACAUCUUCCCAGUCACAUCCCACCCCAAGCAAAAGUUUGUGAGGAGAAUGAUUAAGUGGUCAAAGAAAAGGACAUGUGGUGAGACGAUUCGCCGAAAAUUUCGGCCGGCGCCCCCCGCGCUAUUUUGAGGUCCGGGGGGCGUUGGGCCGUUUUUCGGCGAAAAGCGCCGUCCGCGUCUAAAACUGAGCCUAAAAAGGCGAAAUCACUAAUUAAGAAGUACUCCUUGCGGAGAUUACUCCAACUUCUCUAGGUUGCGACAAGUGGCGCCAACAUGGGAGUUUUUCUUUUUUUUCGUAGAUUCGUUCAUUCAAAAUGUUUUAUCUCUUAAAUCGUGCGUCCAAAUCUCGAACCGCUUUCGCCGUUGGAUUCUUCGCGUCGAGAUUUUCAAAACUAGAUUCCAUGUUGAUAGGUUUUGACAAACUUUUUUUUCACAAAAAAUCGGACGAAAAAAACCGAACCGGGAACACGGGACUUUUUCAUUUUCCGAAAAAGGCACGCCCGUUCCUCUCGCGAAAAAAACCAGAAAACGCUUUUUUUCCUUUUCAAAAGAGGCACGACCGUGCCUCUCGCGAAAAGUACAACCGUGCCUCUCGCGGAAGCAAAAUCGUGCCUCUCGCGAAAGAAAAAAAAAGAAGAAGAAACGCGUUUUUUUCCCUUUCCGGAAGAGGCACACCCGUGCCUCUCGCGAAAUCACAACCGUGCCUCUCGCAGAAGCAAAACCGUGCCUCUCGCGAAAGAAAGAAAAAACAGAAAACGCGUUUUUUCCUUUCCGAAAGAGGCACGCCCGUGCCUCUCGCGAAAGCACAACCGUGCCUCUCGCGGAAGCAAAACUGUGCCUCUCGUGAAAGAAAAAAACAGAAAACANNNNNNNNNNNNNNNNNNNNNNNNNNNNNNNNNNNNNNNNNNNNNNNNNNNNNNNNNNNNNNNNNNNNNNNNNNNNNNNNNNNNNNNNNNNNNNNNNNNNNNNNNNNNNNNNNNNNNNNNNNNNNNNNNNNNNNNNNNNNNNNNNNNNNNNNNNNNNNNNNNNNNNNNNNNNNNNNNNNNNNNNNNNNNNNNNNNNNNNNNNNNNNNNNNNNNNNNNNNNNNNNNNGAAAGAAAAAAAAACAGAAAACACGUUUUUUCCCUUUCCGAAAGAGGCACGCCCGUGCCUCUCGCGGAAGCAAAACCGUGCCUCUCACGAAAGAAAAAAAAAACUGGUUUUCUUUUCCGUUUUCAAGAGGCACGGCCGUGCCUCUCGCGAAAGCACAACCGUGCCUCUCUCUAAAACAAAACCGUGACUCGCGAAAAAAUGUGUUUUUUUGCAAAAAAAAUAUUUUUUUUCGAUUUUUUUUUGUCGAAAAGCUAGGGAAGACCGGUGGAAAACCAAAACGUUAAAAAUCCCAGAAAAAAAACGUUUAAAAAGCCGAAAACGCAUGCGAAAAAAUAAAAAAACAAAAUCCGGAGGGAGUGUCCCAGAGCGCGACACGUGUCAAAUGACUAAGAGCGCGUCAAGUGGCUCUGAUCCUUGCGAGGCUCCCGAAGGAGCGCUCGUUAAUUAAUUGCUCCCUCGAGGGCGGCUGGAUAUGCUCUAAGGACUUGUGUAAAGUGGGGCAGGAUGCGGUGGGCCCGCAAUCUUGCUGCCAUCCUUCUUUCUGCCACCUGACGGCGAAGUGAGAAGGAAACCACCAGAUCUCGCAACGAUCGAGCUUGCUGUAUCAUCCACCUCCGGCAGUAACCGUCCGCCAUGAACAGUGGCCAAAAGAAGUAGAAGGCCAUCAUCGUGGCACAUCAAUGACUGUGACAAGCGUCUGUGCCAAGCUCCUCAACGACAUAAUGUCACACGCCUCAAAGGUCAGCCCUACCGUACACUUGAUAUCUACAACGACGACCCGAUGCUCUCUCGCAUCCCCAUGCUAGUCUAUGGCACCAGCGAAGGAGAAUGUGAGAGAUACCGGAGAACUCCCGGGGACUUGCGGAAGGGAUACCCAACGAAACACUCUGGCCAUGACGUUUUCUACAACUAAAGUUAUCAUUUAAAAAGAAAAAAGAAAAAAAAACUAAAACUUGCUAUGCUUGACAUUUAAAGUUCUCAUUCAUGCGUCUCUAAAUUUGCCAUAAAAAAUGUUUAAAGUUGUCAUGGUGUCACAAGUAUGACACUUAUCACGGUCCAAGCAAAAACCGGGGCGCUGCUACAUGUACGAUCAAUCGCAACCAUCCAUCUUAUCCAUGGUACUACUCCGAUCAAAAUUAACGGAAACACUAAUGCCCACACGUGUGGGCGUUUGCAUCUCGCCCACACGUGUGGAUCCGCGUCCGUUUGUGGGUGCACGAAUCUUGGCACGUUUGUGGUGGCACGUAGAACUGGGCUGAUGUGUGAGCAUUCAUCUGGUCGCCCACACGUUCGUUUCCUCACACGAAGGGGCCGACGUGUGGGCAUUUAGCAGUUCGCCCACACGUCAGAUUUUGCUCAUGCACAAGGGUUGAUGUGUGGGCAUUUGCCAUCUCGCCCACACGUCCGUCUCUUCUUUCAUUCCCAAGCUGCCAGUUGCCAUGUGUUUUGCAGUGUACAUGGCAAAUUGCCCUAGUGUGCUUAUAAGCAGAUGGCAACUCUUUUUUUACCCAAACAUGUCAGUUGCCAUGUGUUUUGCAGGGUACACGACAACUGCCCUAGUGUGCUUGUAAGCAGAUGGCAACUCUCUCAAACAUGUCAGUUGCCAUGUGUUUUGCAGGGUACACGGCAACUGCCAUAGUGUGUUUGUAAGCAGAUGACAACUCUCUCUUUUACCCGAACAUGUAAGUUGCCAUGUAUUUUACAGGGUACACGGCAACUGCCUAGUGUUAGUAGGUGGCAACUCCUAAUGUUUUCAAAUCAUGGCAACUAUAGUAAACCAGACCAUACAUGGCAAUAUCUGCAGUUUGUCCAAAAAUGGCAUCUGGCACUUGACCUGAGAUGACAACUACAGUUGAGCAACCAUGGCAACUGUAGUUGUCCGACAUGGCAACUGUAGUUCAGUGACAUGGCAAUUGUAGUUAAACGAACAUGGAAGAGGGUCCGGACCAUGGCAACUGCGGGCGCGUGGUGACUGUCACGCGGGGCGUGCGGGGCCAUGAGAUAGGAGGCCCGACGUACGGGCGUGUGGGUGUUAUCUAUUUUACCCACACGUAGGCAUGUGAGAGGGAACGUGAGGAAAAAAAGACGCGUUGGCAUUACUUGUUUUGCCCACAUGUAGGCGUGUGGGCUAAUUCUCUUAAACACCACACAAAACGUGUGGACAGACCCCUUAACGCCACAUAUGUGGGCGUUAUCGGCGUCCAAAAUUAAUUGUCGCAAUUUUAUUACUACUACGUCUUAUCCAUGAUAUUUUUCGAAGCAGCAUUUAAUAUGGAUCAAAGUUAUAUAUCUUUUUUUGCGAGGUAAUACGUUUCUCAUUCAUAAAAUAAAGAUCCGGUUACAAGACACGUAAUAACCGACAUUACAGUACUGAAAGGAAAGGAUAAUCCUGCACAAAAAACCAACGCCCGUUCCUCUCCUUCGGCAUCACCGAAGCAACCACCAAGAGAGAGAAGACAAAUCACCUCUUCACCCGAGCUCGACGCGGCUCCAUCGCUGAUCUGCAGCUUUACGGACCUCCAAAGUAGUUUGCCAAAAGCAAAAUCAUUGCCGUUGAAAUAAUCAGACCGGUGCAACAUGUCCCUGGACACGCCAUCAAACUCUAGACCUGACAUCCCCGCACGACUACAACGUCGGAGGAGAAAACCAGAGCUGUCAGCCUCCAACCACACACCCAACACAUGAUGCACCAUCUUCCAGCUGUCAACUGCACAAGCCGCCGUCUAUGCAUACUCCCGGAAAACAAAACCUCCCUGCUCCACCAUGACGUCGGAGACAACGCCACAGCAACGGGGACAGAGCAGAAGGAGAGACACACCUGAUAGAGUCGCCACCACCGCCUCGUCGACACCAUCCAUGAACCCUAACUUCGCCGAUCUGAAGUAUCAAACACACGAUGCCAUCAACUCUGAGACGCCGCCAUAAAGGACACCGCCGGUGUGGGAGUGGAGCUAAGGCAGAUUUAUUCGUCCGGACGCCGCACCCACCACCCCAACGACGCACCACAACAUACAAAACCAAAACUUAACUACAGAGCGGAGGAACGGGGUCCCCCCUCCCUCCCGCCGCCGGAGCAGCAGACGGAGGGAGAGGGGAUGAAAGAUCGUGGAUGUCGCCUAGAGGGGGGGGGGUGAAUAGGCGCUUUAAAAUAAUUACGGUUUAGGCUUGAACAAAUGCGGAAUAAACCUAGCGGUUAAUUUGUCAAGCACAAAACCUAAAACAACUAGGCUCACCUAUGUGCACCAACAACUUAUGCUAAGCAAGAUUCGUAACUAUGUGAUAGCAAGAUAUAUGACAAAGAACAAUAUGGCUAUCACAAAGUAAAGUGCAUAAGUAAAGGGCUCGGGUAGAGAUAACCGAGGCACGCGGAGACGACGAUGUAUCCCGAAGUUCACACCCUUGCGGAUGCUAAUCUCCGUUUGGAGCGGUGUGGAGGCACAAUGCUCCCCAAGAAGCCACUAGGGCCACCGUAAUCUCCUCACGCCCUCGCACAAUGCAAGAUGACGUGAUUCCACUAAGGGACCCUUGAGGGCGGUCACCGAACCCGUACAAAUGGCGACCCUUGGAGGCGGUCACCGAACCCAUACACUUUGGCAACCCUUGGGGGCGGUCACCGGUACCCGUCAAAUUGCUCGGGGCGAUCUCCACAACCUAAUUGGAGACCCCGAUGCUUGCACGGAGCUUUACACCACAAUGAUUGAGCUCCAAAGCACCACCAACCGUCUAGGGCGCCAAAGCACCCAAGAGGAACAAGCUCAAGGGCACCAAGCACCCAAGAGUGAUAAGCUUCUCAACUUGAAACUUCCACGUAUCAUCGUGGAGAACUCAAAUCGAUGCACCAAAUGCAAUGGCAAGGGCACACGGAGUGCCCAAGUCCUUCUCUCCCAAAUCCCACCGAAGCAACUAAUGCUAGGGAGGAAAGUGAGAGGAAGAACAAGAAGGAGAACACCAAGAACUCCAAGAUCUAGAUCCAAGGGGUUCUCCUCACAUAGAGGAGAAAGUGAUUGGUGGAAACGUGAAUCUAGAUCUCCUCUCUCUUUUCCCUCAAAAACUAGCAAGAAUCCAUGGAGGGAUUGGGAGAUAGCAAGCUCGGAGAAGGUCAACAAUGGGGGAAGAACACGAGCUCAAAGGAUAAGGUUUAAUGGGGAAGAAGACACCCUUUUAUAGGUGGGGAAAAAUUCAACCGUUAAGCUCACAACCCGCACAGAGCGGUACUACCGCUCCAAGGAGCGGUACUACCGCUAGGGCGGUAGUACCCCUUUGAAAAACAACAGCGAGGAGGCAAAAGGCCAGUAGAACCGCUGGAGUGGUACUACCGCUCGUCCUCACGGUACUACCGCAAAUGGUAGCGGUACUACUGCUUGCGAGCGGUACUAAAAAAAAACUUCUGUGCCUACUUCCGCUAAGCAAAACACGAGAUUUUGGUCUGAAGCGGUACUACCGCUUAGGAGCCGCGGUAGUACUGCUCUGGAGCGGUACUACGGCUCAGGAGCCGCGGUAGUACCGCUCUGGAGCGGUAGUAAAAAAUUACAUCCGCUCUAGCGUGGUAGUACCGCUGCAACCUUUGCCAAAACAGCCACAACUUUUGCAAACGGACUCCGAAUUCAACGAAACCAAGUUUGUUGGAAAGCUAACGACAUGGGCUAAAAUAAUCUUGAUAGAAAUAUCAAGAAUAAGCAAAUGAGAAAAGUCCCAUAAGAAAAAGGUGAGAACCCUUCCUCGGAUAAGAUCAGUAAAACCUCCAACACCGAAAACAUCAUAGAAGACGCAUGCGAACUCCGUUUUCGAUGAACUCAAGCUUGUCAUCAAGAUGACCAUAAGCUCUAAGACUCACAAAGAAAACCAAACAAGAACCAAGAAACAUGAUGCAUGGAUGCAAUGGUUUGAGCUCUCUACUAACGAUACGAUCAAGCUACCAACUUGAGAGCCCCCCUUGAUAGUACGACAAACGAUCCUAUAACUCGGUCUCCCAACUACCACCACGAGACUGGUAAAAUAGAAAACCUAUCAAGGGCAAACAUUUGCCUUGCACAUGGUCCACUUGAGCUAGAUGAAGACGAUCUUGACUCCCUCAAGUUGGACCACCUUUCUUGAUUGCGUUGGCUCGGUGAAGACUAGAUGAUUGCUCCCCAUAGUCCACUAUGGGUGAGCCACUCUUAGGCACAUCUUCACAAGUCCAUUGACACCAUAAUGGAUGGCAAGAUUCAAGCACUUGAUCUCUUCGUGAUGCUCCACUUGAACUUGCACACGACAAUCUUGAUGACGAUCACCACUUGAUGUCAUCCUUUCCAUGGGUUGUAUGAUAUCUGCCUCUUGACGCAAGCCCAUCGACACGUACCUAACCCCACAUAGAACUCUCACGUAGACCAUGGGUUAGUACACAAAGUGCAAUGGACAAUGCUUACCAUACCAUGGGAUCACUUGAUCCCUCUCGGUACAUCUUCUACGCUUUGUGAGUUGAUCAACUUGAUUCACUCUUGACUUAGUCUUGAUCAACCUUGAAUCUUUUCAACUCUCUUCAUUUGGAUGAUGUCUUGAAGGUAAACAUAAAUGACCACACAAUCUUCUUCUUCAAGACAUGCUUGCAAUAAGCUCAAUACUCACAUGACCUAUCUUUGGAUAAUUCCUUAAUAGCACAUUGGUCAACUCAUAAACUCCUUGAAACCAACACAUGGACUUCAAGAAAAACCUAUGGACAAAUCCUUCAAAUAUAACUCAAGACAACCAUUAGUCCAUAGAGAUUGUCAUCAAUUACCAAAACCAAACAUGGGGGCACCGCAUGUUUACAAUCCCCCCCGUUUUGGUAAUUGAUGACAAUCACUUUCAAGAGAGUUUAUACAAGGAAUUAUGCAUCACCAUGCAAUGCAACAACCAAUGAUGCAUGAGAAUGAGAUGCAAAAGCUUAGGAACCAAAACCAAAGCAAGGAGAAGACUCAGACGAAUUCUCCACAAAACUCUCUGAAACUUCUCCCCCAUUGGCAUCGAUUGCCAAAAUGGGCGAAAAGCUUAGAAGGCCAAUAUAAAUUGUGGUCCUCCAGAAAUUGUGUAUUUCUCAACAAGAGAGUGGAAUGCAAUACACAUAUCCAACUGUCAGUACUUGGAGGAAGACAAACUAUAUUGAGGCCCAAAGAUUGCAACAGAAAGAUAUGCCACAAAGACAUAACAAAGAGAGACACAAGCAAUCAAAAGAUACCAAUUGAAGCAACUAGACAAAUAAUCCGACGAGCCACAAGAAAAGAUAAGAAAAGCAUAAAGGAGUGUUCUAAAGAAACUAGAGAAGCUCCCCAUGAUUUGUGCACACAUAAGAAUAUUUGUAUUUGAAUACAAAGUGCACAAAAUAGGAUCAUAGCUCCCCCAAAAUCAAUAGAAACUCACAUCCAGUGCAAGUGAGCAAAUAGGAAACAAAGCCUAGCGCUUGCAACAAGCACAUGGUUGAGCAACAUGUAAGAGAGGCAACUUAAGAAAAGGCUCAACCAAAAAUGAUGUGUGUAAGUCAUGGCAAAGCACUUGAGAAGACUAAAAUUAGGAUGAGUAUCGGUGUCAAAACUGGCGGAUCUCGGGUAGGGGGUCCCGAAUUGUGCGUCUAGGCGGAUGGUAACAGGAGACGAGGGACACGAUGUUUUUACCCAGGUUCGGGCCCUCUUGAUGGAGGUAAUACCCUACGUCCUGCUUGAUUAAUAUUGAUGAUGUGGGUUACAAGAGUAGAUCUACCACGAGAUCAAGGAGGCUAAACCCUAGGAGCCAGCCUAUGGUAUGAUUGUUGUUCAUCCUAUGGACUAAAGCCAUCUGGUUUAUAUAGACACCGGAGAGGGCUAGGGUUACAUAGAGUCGGUUACAAUGAUAGGAGAUCGACAUAUCCGUAUCGCCAAGCUUGCCUUCCACGCCAAGGAAAGUCCCAUCCGGACAUGGGACGAAGUCUUCAAUCUUGUAUCUUCAUAGUCUUGGAGUCCGGCCGAUGAUGGUAGUUCGGCUAUCCGAACACCCCCUAGUCCGGCACUCCCUCAGUAGCCCUUGAACCAGGCUUCAAUGACGACGAGUCCGGCGCGCAUAUUGUCUUCGGCAUUGCAAGGCGGGUUCCUCCUCCGAAUGAUUUAUAGAAGAUUGUGAACACCAGGAUAGUGUCCGGCUCUGCAAAAUAAUUUCCACAUACCACCGUAGAGAGAAUAAUAUUCACACAAGUUCAAUCCGCUGACGUAUUCCAUGGCGUGACGUCACACCACAACCAAGCCUUUAUUUGAAUCGCUUUUAUUGUACCACUUCAGCGCGUUUAGCGAAGCGGUUUCCUUGGCACGUCCUGUCGAAGCAGAGAUCGUGUUCCGCUUAUUCCGGGAUUCCCAUCAAUACAGAUGUGGGUAACCCAACCGCGCCAUCAAUCACGACGCUUGGGGGAUAAGCGAGUUUUACCGGGCCGGUGGGGACACAUGUUUUUGUCCGCCCAUAUAAGGGGAUAAAGAUCCAACCCUUUUCCCUGCGCCUUCUUCCUCCUUAGCUUAUCCAUCUCUGCGAACCCGAGCUCCAGCGCCCAAGCCCGCACAUCCCACCUCAACCUUCUCCGAUCAUGUCUGGAGCGGGAGGCAAAUGGAUGGCCUCCUCCGUUACGGAGGCGCACAUCAAGAAGCUGCGCGACGCCGGAUAUCUAUCCAGCGAUAUUGCGCACCGACUCCCCAACGAGGGAGAGCUCAUCCCCACCCCUAGGCCCCAUGAGAGGGUAGUUUUCCUUCCCCAUUUCCUCCGCGGACUGGGCUUCCCACUUCAUCCCUUUGUCCGGGGACUCAUGUUCUAUUACGGCCUAGAUUUCCAUGAUCUGGCCCCGAAUUUUAUCCUCAACAUCUCGGCGUUCAUCGUCGUGUGUGAGGCCUUCCUCUGCAUCCAGCCCCACUUCGGCUUGUGGCUCAAGACCUUCAGUGUCAAGCCGAAGGUUGUGAAGGGCAGCCAAGCGGAAUGCGGAGGCGCAAUGGUGGGCAGGAUGUCCCAUGUUACAUGGCUCGAGGGCACUUUCGUGGAAACCAUCAAGGGGUGGCAAUCGGGGUGGUUCUAUAUCACCGAGCCGCGUGACCCUGAAUGGGCAGCGGCCCCCGAAUUCAGAUCCGGGAUCCCCACAUGGCUCACCUCCUGGAAAGAGAGCGGCCGGAUCUGGGGUAAUUCGAAAGAGCUGAUCGGACUCCAAGCUUGCGUCCAGAAGCUGGUGGACAAGAAGCUCAAGCUCGUCAACGUGGUCCAGGUCAUGCUCAUCCGUCGGGUCCUCCCGUGCCAACGACGGGGCUUCAACAUGUGGGAGUUUGAUCCGGCACAGCACCAGACCCUGAAGGGGCUCUUCGACACUACGUACGAAGAAGUCUGGAAGGUGUUGUUCAAGGGCGCCGAGACCCCCGCAUCCGCUACCGAAGAUCGCGGAUUUAGUUCGCAGCGUCCAGCUGACGCGGUAAGUGACUUCAUCCCUUACAGAAUGCUCGUUCUCCAUAGUUUGACUCUAUGCGGGAUCUAAACUCCCUCGUUCCUUUAACAGGACUAGCUGGCGAAGGCCGAACAGACUAUAUGUCCGGCCCCAUUGCCAGAGGACGCCCGUUUAACGGAGCUGCUAGCUCCGGCGCCCCAUGUGGUGCCGGAGAAGAAGGCCAAGAAGAAGGCCACGGGGACUCGGAAGAGUUCCCGUUUUCAGGUGCUAUCGGAUGACGAAUCCGAGGCCGACUCCUCUCACAAAGGUGAGGAGGAGAAGCAGAAAGCCUCUCCCCCAGCGGGGGGAGAGAAGAAAAGGAUGGCCUCUCCGACAAGGGAAGCCGAAGGGUCCAAGAGGGGAAAAACCCUUCCCCCGGACUACUCCGCCAACGCCGGUGAUGACGACGAGGACUGGCCUCCAAGGGCCAAGCCCCUGGCGAGAUCGUGAGUAUCCGGAAUCCCGAAUAACUUCAUGGUUUAUAUUUUUUUCUUUUGGCCACACAAUGUCUUUCUAAUGCCGCAUACAACCCUGUAGUCCGCCCAAGGAUGAUCUCCCCGCUUCUUCGAGCGGGUCCUUAGGUGCGUCGGAUAUGGAUUCCCUUCCGACCGCCUCCUCCCCUCGUGACGCGGACAGUGCCGAGGUGGGAUCCCGGGAAGGGACCCACCAGGAGGAGAAGGCGUCAGAGGUGUCGCAAGACAGCCUCCAGGACUUUGCACCGGACUCGGCGCCGGAGCCCCUAGUGGCUGCGGAGUCCGGCGGGCGACCCCUUCGCAAGAAGGGCAAGACCGUGACGCCGGCAGCUUCCGUCCAACCGGAGGUGCCGGAUAGAUUGCUAGAGGCGCUCAAUAGCGCCUCUAUUGAAGAGGAACACUGCACUGUUAUGAGUGCGGUGAUUCAGAAAGUUCAGCUCGCCAAGAACGGGCUGACCGAAGCCUGCAGCAGCCUUCUAACAGGCUUUGAGGUAAGAAUUUCAAUAUGUAAAAAAUGAUACCGCAUAGACAGUAGCCCCUGAUGCUCGGUUCGGUGUUCGGAAAGAAAAGCCGGACUGAGGAUCCGAUAAGAUAUACGCAGGAGUUAAAAAUAUGUCAAUAUGGGAUUGCAGGCUGCACUGCUGACCUCUGCCGCAUUGAAUGCGGAGGUCGAUACUUUGAAGAAGGACCUCGAGCGGUCCGAGAACAAGCUCGGCCAUGCCAAGAAGCAGCUCGAGGUCAAGGAAGGUGAGUAACACCAUAUUAAAAUUGCACCUUACAGAAAAUGAUUUUGGUUGCAAAAAGAAUAACGAGGAUAACAUGGGUAUUGCAGGGGCCACGAACGAGGUGGCGACCCUGAAAGAGGCGGUGGCCGCGGCCGAACGCAAUGCGGCUGCGGAGCGCACCGAGCGAGAGAAACAUGAGGCACGGGUGGCGGAGGUACAGCAAGAGCUCCAGGAUCUCGUGAAGAAACACGAGAGCCUGGAGCGUGACUCGAAGACUCGAGAGUCUGAGCUUGCAACGACUCUUGAGAGUGCCAAAGCUGCUAAGGCCGAAGCCUACAAGGCCCUUCAGGAGAUAGAGGCGGUGAAGAAAAUAGCAGCGGAUAAGGCAUUUUUCAUGCAAAGUAAGCAUGUGAGUGUUAAUUACCUGUCGCUUACCCGAAUUCGGAGCUCUCCAGGAGCAUUCGCAGAUCUUCCCCGCAGUGUGUCCGAUGCUGCCGCAUUCUACCGGGCCGAGGAGGGGAGCUCAACGGAGAAGGUCUUCUGGUCUCAGUAUGCUGAGGCCGGACAUCCGGUGCCCCUUAACGACCAGCUGAAGCAGCUGGUCGAGCUCCACAAGGCGGCCGAACAGGCCAUGAAGGGCCUCAUAGUUCGGCUGUGGCCUAAGGAGGCUAUGCCUGGGAGCUACUUCAGCCUGGUGCGGCGGCUGGUGGACGCGUGCCCGUGGGUUGAAAUUAUCAAGCACUCCGCCUGUAUCGAGGGUGCGCGUCGGGCCCUUGCCCGCGAAAAGGUGCACUGGGGCAAGAUGGAUGCCCAGAAGCUUGUGACGGACCCCCACCAGAGGGCAAGGAGCAUCGCACGCCCGAGAUGUAUUAUAGGAGUGUGCUGAAGGGCGCCCACAUUAUUGCGGGUGAGUGCUCCAAAGAAGAAGUUUUUGAGUAGACUCGCGUUUUGUUAUCCUGUGCGCUGAAAACUAAGUUCAUAUGCGCGAAGCAACACUUGUUAAUUUAAAAUAUUACCUUCUGUGCGGCUGUUUAUCAAAUCUGAGAGAUGGCAAGUCGUCGGCUUCAGCCCCCAUGCCACGAGUGCUGGGGUGUUCAGGAUAAAUUUGGGCACUCUUGUUCCCAUAUUUGGGUCCAUCGAGGGAGGCGCUCAACACAACGAACAAGGCAACUGGACUUAUAAUGCUUGAACACUCUCACUUAGCCAUAGAAUUCUAUAAUUUUAAAUUUCGGCGAAGCCCCUAGUUUUCGGAAGGCCGAAUUUGGGGCGCUAUCCACGCCUUGGCCGGACAGAAUCCGGCUCCUCGCUCGAAGUGGCAUAAGUCUUUAGGGACUCGCAAAGAACCUCUCGAACAGUGACCAGCUCUCGCCUCAUCAUGAUGGUCAGUUUUAGCUUUCUCCACUAAGGCGUUAACCCAGCUCAACUGGGGCGCAAUCGCAGUGGUUCUCCCAGUGCUACCUUAGCCGAUAAAAUGGAACGUAAUGUACCAAAACAUGGGAGCCGGGCAAACCCAACUAUUGACCCAAGAACAUGAUUCGGAGCCGAUGCAUAUAAUGCUAUAAGUUCGGGGUGCCGCACUUGUGAAAGUGUUCGGACUUAUCACACCAUAACGCGGGAAACAUAAGCCCCUGGUGUAUUCAGCCGUACCAAAACGUACGGAUGCAACAUGUCAUAGAUGAACAUAUGUGUAAGAAAGAAAUGCAAUUAGAAGCAAAAAUGUGCUGCAUUGCUUUAUUCGACAAAAACUGCUGUAAGUGCAUGACGAUACAAGUGGUGCGGUAAGCAAGGGAUGGGACUGUUUAACAUGUCCCCCUCCAGGGGUAGGCUACGAAAUAAUGCAUAAAAUAGAUUUAAUGCUCAUGAUGGAGACCACCUGGAUUUUCGUUGUAGCCUUUCUCCUUCCCUGGCUGUUGCAUCGUGGGUUCGGCAUGUCUGCUGCCGGACAGGGCCUCUGACGAACGGAGUCCUGUAGGUAAAAAAUAAAAGGAAAAGAAAAAGAAACGACACACUUAAGAGCCCCUGGUGCGGUUGAGCCGCAGUCUGGGCUUAUCGUGGUCGAGCCCCUUGCCCCAUGCCCAUGGUAUCUUCGGAGCGUAAUGGAGUACGUGAAGGGUCUGUCUUAAUGUUUUACAGGGGCUGGGGUUGGGGCCGCACUGCUACGCAUGCUCGGAACGUGCCAGGUGGUCAUGUUGUAGGUUACUCCGGGCACGCUUAGCUGUGUCCGGCCGCUUGGCAGCCGGACUCGAGAAUUUCCUUAAAAGGCUGCUUUGUACUUCUGUCGCGAGAGCCGCUGUAUGUUCCUCCGUUCGGAGGGAGCGUUCAGUGUUUCCGUUGACCAUGAUGACUCAUCUAGGGCCUGGCAUCUUGAGCUUGAGGUAUGCGUAGUGCGGCACCGCGUUGAACUUUGCGAACGCGGUACGUUCGAGCAAGGCAUGAUAGCCGCUGCGGAACGGGACUAUGUCGAAGAUUAACUCCUCGCUUCGGAAGUUAUCCGGGGAUCCGAAGACCACUUCCAGUGUAAGUAAGCCUGUACAAUUGGCUUCUACACCUGGUAUGACGCCUUUAAAGGUCGUCUUGGUAGGUUUAAUCCUUGAGGGGUCUAUACCCAUUUUGCGCACCGUGUCCUGAUAAAGCAGGUUUAGGCUGCUGCCGCCGUCCAUCAGGACUCUGGUGAGAUGAAAUCCAUUGACGAUUGGGUCUAGAACCAAUGCGGCGAACACACCAUGGCGAAUGCUGGUGGGGUGGUCCCUUCGGUUAAAGGUGAUCGGGCAAGAGGACCAUGGAUUGAACUUCGGGGCAACUGGCUCCAUCGCGUAUACAUCCCUGAGUGCACGCUUCCGCUCCCUUUUGGGUAUGUGCGUGGCAUAUAUCAUGUUCACCGUCCGCACCUGUGGGGGGAAACCCUUCUGUCCUCUAUUGUUCGACGGUCGGGUCUCUUCCUCGUCGUCGCUAUGUAGCCCCUUGUCGCUGUUUUCGGCAAUUAACUUGCCUGCCUGCUUGAACACCCAACAGUCCCUAUUGGUGUGGUUAGCUGGCUUUUCAGGGGUGCCAUGUAUCUGGCACAAGCGGUCGAGAAUUCGGUCCAAACUGGACGGACCCUGAGUUGUUCUUUUGAAUGGCUUUUUCCGUUGACCGGGUUUAGAGCCUCUGAAUCCGACAUUGACUGCCGUAUCCUCAUUGUUAUCGCCGUUAAUGCGGCGUUUGUUUUUGUUGCGACGCGACCUGCCACUACGGUCCUUGAUAUCCGGACUGCCAGAAUUUUUGUUGAGGUUGUUGCUGCGUGCUAGCCAGUUAUCCUCACCCGCACAGAAGCGGGUCAUGAGUGAUGUGAGGGCUGCCAUGGAUUUCGGCUUUUCCUGUCCCAGGUGCCGGGCAAGCCACUCGUCGCGGAUGUUAUGCUUGAAGGCCGCGAGGGCCUCAGCAUCCGGACAAUCGACGAUUUGGUUUUUCUUGGUUAAGAACCGUGUCCAGAAUUGUCUGGCCGAUUCGUCUGGCUGCUGAAUUAUGUGGCUUAGGUCAUAUGCAUCUGGUGGUCGCACGUACGUGCCUUGGAAGUUAUCGAGGAAUGCGGCUUCUAGGUCCUCCCAACUCCCGAUUGACUCUGCUGGCAAGCUGUUAAGCCAGUGCCGGGCUGGUCCUUUAAGUUUGAGUGGGAGAUAUUUGAUGGCGUGGAGAUCGUCUCCGCGGGCCAUGUGGAUGUGGAGGAGAUAGUCCUCGAUCUAGACCGCGGGGUCUGUUGUGCUAUCAUAAGAUUCAAUACUGACGGGUUUAAACCCUUCUGGGAUUUGAUGAUCCAUUACCUCAUCUGUGAAGCACAGUGGGUGUACGGCGCCUCUGUACUGGGCGAUAUCGCGACGGAGCUCAAAAGAGCUUUGUCUGUUGUGUUCGGCCCGGCCGGACUUACUGUGUCCGGGGUGACGGUGAUCGUCACAUAUCGUGGGGCGCCCACAUGAUCCAUAGAUCGAUCUUGAUUGUCUUGCCUUAUCCUCCAAUAUGUCUCGCAGGUCCGGAGUGUUCCCCUGUGGCCUUGUGCUUUUCGAGCGAUGCCGGGGUACGAGUCUAGUGAAGGGCCUUGAGGCCUCUCUGUCGCGACCACGGGGUGGUCGAUCAGCCGUAUUGUCUCCUGGUGAAGCGGGAUCAUAUGCCUCCACCUCUAAUCGGGGGAGCAGCUUAUGUUUGGGGUAGCUUUUGGAGGGGCGUUCGAGUUCAUGCUCUUCGGCCGCGAGGACUUCGGUCCAUCUGUCGACUAGCAAAUCUUGAUCAGCUCUAAGCUGCUGCUGCUUUUUCUUGAGGCUGUUUGCCAUGGCCAUAAGCCUGCGUUUGAAACGCUCCUGUUCGACGGGAUCCUCAGGCACGACGAAUUUGUCGUCGUCGAGGCUUGCCUCGUCUCCGGAGGGAGGCAUAUAGUCCUCUACCUCUUCUUCGGCCGCUCUCUCAUGAGGGCUGGCGUCCCCCUCCUCCUGCGCUGGAUCUUGCUGGAGUGGGUUGUCUUCGGCGCUAUCCGGUGUAUUAUUGUCUCCGGUGCCGAAAUCCUCAUUCUUGCUAUGGUGGGAUUUAGAGCGGCGCCGCUGACGCCGGCGCUUGGGCUGUUUCUUGGAGGGGUCAUCCUCCGCUAUUCCUUCGCCGUUCCCACCCUUUGGGAUAUCCACCAUGUAUAUGUCGUAUGAAGAGGUGGCUUUCCAGUGCCCGGUGGGCGCUGGUUCUUGGUCGUCUCCGGCAUCGUCGUCCAUACCGUCGAUGUCCUCAGAGUCGUAAUCUAGCAUGUCGGUUAGAUCGUCGACAGUUGCUACCAAGUGGGUGGUGGGUGGGCUCUGAAUUUCUUCGUCGUCCGCAUCCCAACCAUCCUGGCUGCAGUCCGGCCAGGCCUCUCCUGAUAACGAGAGAUACUUUAGCGAACUCAAGAUGUCGUCAAAAGGUGAGUGUUGAAAGAUGUCCGCCGCGGUGAACUCCAUGAUCGGCGCCCAAUCGGAUUCGACUGGAGGGGGCGCGGGAGGUCCGGAGUCCGGCAAGGAGUCCGACACCUCGGAGUCACGAGCUUCAUGGGGGACAAGAUCGGUGUUCGGCUCUAUCGCCGUAGAGGUUGCAGCCCCCGAGGCGGUGUCUAGCCAUCCAUCCUUGGUCCGUGCAGCCGGCUUCGAGUCGAAGAUCGGAGCGGGUUCGAGUGCGACCUCCAGGGUACUGUCCGGCUGCAGAGCUAAAUCAUGCCCAUCGUGACAGUACGACACGCUCGGCUGUGGCUCGAAUCCGUCGAGGAUCAAGUCCCCGCGGAUGUCAGCCGUGAAGUUCAAACUUCCAAAUCUGACCUGAUGGCCAGGGGCGUAGCCUUCGAUCUGCUCCAGCUGGCCAAGCGAAUUGGCCCACAGUGCGAAGCCGCCGAAUGCGAAGAUCUGUCCGGGGAGGAAGGUCUCACCCUGGACUGCAUCGUCGUUGAUGAUCAAAGAAGCCAUCGAGCCUAUCGGUGACGACACAGAGGAACUCUCAAUGAAAGCACCAAUGUCGGUGUCAAAACCAGCGGAUCUCGGGUAGGGGGUCCUGAACUGUGCGUCUAGGCGGAUGGUAACAGGAGACGAGGGACACGAUGUUUUUACCCAGGUUCGGGCCCUCUUGAUGGAGGUAAUACCCUACGUCCUGCUUGAUUAAUAUUGAUGAUGUGGGUUACAAGAGUAGAUCUACCACGAGAUCAAGGAGGCUAAACCCUAGGAGCUAGCCUAUGGUAUGAUUGUUGUUCUUCCUAUGGACUAAAGCCAUCCGGUUUAUAUAGACACCGGAGAGGGCUAGGGUUACACCGAGUCGGUUACAAUGGUAGGAGAUCUACAUAUCUGUAUCGCCAAGCUUGCCUUCCACGCCAAGGAAAGUCCCAUCCGGACACAGGACGAAGUCUUCAAUCUUGUAUCUUCAUAGUCUUGGAGUCCGGCCGAUGAUGGUAGUUCGGCUAUCCGGACACCCCCUAGUCCGGCACUCCCUCAAUGAGCAUUAAGCAUCAACAUGGUCUUGAAAGAAUGAGGCGCAUAGUGCAAGGCCUAUCAUUCCCACACACAACUGGCAAAUGGGUUCACAAGCUUACUAAUAAGCAAAUAGAGAACCUAUGCUUGUGACAACCCGUGGUGAAGAUAGACGAAGAGAGGCUCAUCAAGACGAGGGAUACCAAGCCUCGUAAAGAUAAGCAAGAGGAAAAUAAUCUUCACCACACAAGAGUGCAUCAAGAUGCAACGAUAGAGGACACACACUCAAGGCAAAAGCUUUCAUGGAGCCACCAAAGAAAUAACAUAAGAAAGACAAGGUGGACAUGAAAGAAAGGAUAUCAUCUAGAUAUGCAACUUCUCUCAAGUGUAUAAAAUUCUAGGUAGACGAAAUCAUGAAGAUAUAUCUACAAAGAAGGACGUACACCCAGAAUAGUUACAACAUGAAGGAACAAGAUAUCCAAAAGGAAAUCAUAGAUAUACCAAUAAGAUAUUUGAUUGGAAGCAUAGCACAUGGCUAGAUAUGGUCUUAUUGGAUAUAGAUGAAUUCCUACAACACAACCAUCAAAUACAUCACAACUAGAAACAUGAGAUCAUCGUUGAGAUGCUUUGAGAAAGGAAACAAGUAUCACAAGAACUAGUGAAACACAUGCCAUGAUACAACCUACACAAGGUUGAUGCAAUAAAUGUGUGCAUGAAGUAGAUAAAGAUACUUGUUACCGAGAUAUCAUUGGAAGGAUGUAGUAGAUACCCAUUGAAGGUAGAUAGUAGUUCAUUGAUCAUCCUAGCUUGACUCCAAAAUGCACAUGGUGACAACACCUUCCUUGUGAGUGAGACGAGCAUCCAAUGAAUCUCCAAAUGUUCCUAGAAGAACAACACACACUAAACAGUACCCAAACUCAUCGGGACCAAAUAGUUAGAAACACAAAUACAUAGGACAAACUCCACAUAAAUAUGUGCAUAUAGAUUUGAAAAAGAAUUUCAUGCACAUCUCAUACAAAUUGAGACUAGGUGGAGUUUCCCCUAUAUAUUGAGUCAAAGAAAGAAAGCAUGCCAUAAAACAUACAUGAAGUAAAUAUGCAUGCUCAAGACUUUCAAGAACUAAAACCAAAACAAAACGAAAUGCCAAGAGAAAAGGAUACCAAAUAGAUAAAUCAUCACUUGGAAGAUAUCAUUAAAGAUACAACAAGGAGUGAGAUAUCCAUUGAUACACACUAAAAUAAAAGAUGUCAAACUCCCAAAGAGAGGAUGCUUCCAAACAAACCAAGCUCUCAACAAAGUUUCAUGAUGGCACAAAGUACCAAAAAGAAAUGGCUUGCCUUCCACCUACACACUUGAUAAGGAUCACAAGAAGAGUGUUCUAGAGAAAAUAGGAUAGCUCCCCCAUGAGUUGUGCAUUAUAUAGGGAAUUUGUAUUUGAAUACAAAAUGCACUAGGUGGGAUCACCACUUUCACUAUAUCUAGAAAACCCUAGACAAGAACAAGAAAUAAACAAGAUCCACAAGUGGUAUGGAAGACAAUGGGAGUUGACACAAACCUUGGCAAGAGAAAAGGCAAAUAAAAACAAAAGCCAAUGUAAAGAUGAUCAAUAAAUUCUACCACACAAAAGUGACUACCAAUUGUCAAAAGACAAGAAGUAUCUGGAAAUAAUUCCCGGUGGUAGAUAACAAGGAUAUCCGACAUCAUCUUCACACCAAACACAAGCAAAUUGCAACUUGUAGAGCUAACAUGCCACCUAGGAACAAGAUAAUAUACAAUAUCAAUUCUAGGUGACAAUAUCUCAAAUGUACACAUUUUCUAGGCUUUUAAUAUGCACUUAGCAUAUUACUCCCCCAUAAUGUGAUACCAAUAAGAACUUAACAAGAGGCAAUAAGAGGACCCAACAAGAUAUAAUCAAUGGAAUUUUUAGAAUUUGAAUUUCUCAUGAGAGAUAUACCACCUAGCGACUAGAUAAUCUUGUAAUAUCAAUACUAGAUGGUAUUCCUCAUGUACACACAUUUAUAGGAUUAUGAGGUACACAAAGCACAUCACUCCCCCAAAAUGGGAUGUUCCAUUAAUCUCUCACAUGAGCCAACUAGGAUACAAACAAGAAGCAAAAAGGCUCAAAGCACGACACACAUGUACAUGAUGUGCAAACCAUCACACACAGUUGGAAGCACAACAUAUACAAACACAUGCAAGGAACAAAACCAAAACAUGCAAGGGGGCAAGUAACUUCCAAUGUAAAAAAUUUAAGUACAAGUUACCGCAAGGAGGCACAUUGGAUAUAAGAUAGAAACUUGAUAAUCCAAUUGACUUGGCUUGAGACGAUAAGAAUGAUGAAGUCCCCUUAAUUCUUCAUAAUGUAGCCAAGUCUCCAAUGCCCUCCAUCAACACCUAUUGAUCAAGUUUGAGUUUGGUGGUCCCCAACCAAGUUGGGUCCUAAGAGGUUAGUCACAAUAGGCUUGGCUACCCAAAUGGUUCUUUUCUUGACACCACUUUGAGUACCAACAAACUUGGCAAACACAUUGCCAACCUUAUCCUUCCCAAGAGAAUAGAUAUCAUCAAUAAUAAUUGGGUUGGAUAAGUUACCACUAGUGCAUGAAGAAGCAACGUGACCUUUCUCACGACAUAAGUAGCAACGUCUACUCUUCACUUUCUUCUCACUUGAUUUCUCAACAAGAGAAGCAUUAACUUGAGUAUUCUUGGGAAGUGGCCUUUCUUCAACUUGAGGUUGAGCAUGAGAUUGAACUUGUGGCCUCUUCCCUUGUUGCUUGUCACUAAUGGCCUUCUUCUUCAAUGGGCAAGAUCUAACAUGAUGCUGUAAGUGCAUCUAGUGCCCCUUAGUGAUUUUGGUGUAUUGAAGACUUAUAGGUCAAGUGACUAAUGCGUUUGUGAGUGUACACAGGUCUAUAAGUCUAUGAGGAGUUUGAUAUUUACAGAGAAAGUCGACCCCUAAAAAUGAAUAUCUUCGACUGAAGAUUUUGGUAUUCCUGAAGACUUUCAUGAAGACUUUGAAAGUGAAGAAAUUGGUGUGUCCGUGAAGACUUGAUAUUCAUGCGAGGAAUAUGAAGCUUGAAGACUUUUGUUUUCAUAGUUUUGUUUUUAUCUUUCUUGAGUCAUAGGAAACACCGUACUGUUAAAGGGGGUCGAGGAAAUACUAACGAAAAAUUUCCAAGUGAUGCUCAACUCAAAAUCCUACACCUACCAAACCCUUCGAGUGAAGCCUUUGGAAAUCUCAUACAGUUCAAUCAAUUUCUUCAGUGACAGAGACGAAGUUCUUCUGGUCGCUAAGGAAUUUGUUCUGACUAAGGAGUUAGAAAUUCGCCAGUGCGGAUUGCCUACACAGUGAGGAACAUGAUAGCCCCGAGGAAUUUGAGAGUCAAAUUUUUGACCGUUGCUGUGCUACGCGCCAGCUGUCCCACAAUAUCUUAUCCACCUAACGGUCAUAUCAGACAAGGGCAUUUAUGUCUUAUCAUGUCGGGCUGCUCCCUAGGCUAUAAAUAGCCGCCCCCUACAACCACUAGUUGGUUGGCUGCUCUGAGAGAAACUGACACUUGUCAUUUGAGAGCAACCCAUCCUCCGAGGACUUUGAGCGAAAAUCAUCGAGUGAGGAAAAACCCAAACCCCAAACACCUACAAACCCCAAAGUGAUUGAGCAUCACUGAAGAGAUUGAUCCUGCGUGGAUCUGACGCUUGUUACCUUUGAAGACUGUGCUUCUUCCAGACGGUUAGGCGUCAUGGUCUAGAGCAUCCAAGAGGAAUUGUGGAUCGUCGAGUGACCGAGUCUGUGAAGGUUUGGAAGUCGCCUGAAGACUUACCACGAGUGAUUGGACGAGGUCUGUGUGACCUUAGUUCAAGGAGAAUACGGUGAGGACUUGGUGUCCUGAGCUGCGUGCUCAGCGAUUGGGUGUCCGGGACUGUGUGUCCUCGAGUUUAAAUACUCAGCCGCUCCAACCAGACGUACAACUGAGACAGCAGUUGGAACUGGUCUACCAAAUCAUUGUCUUCACCAACCUUACUGGUUCUAUUUCCUCAACUCUUUCAAUUCCUCAUUACUGUGUUGAGUGAUUGUUCAUAUCUGUGUUUGAAGACUUUAACUGAAGACUUUCUCAAUUUCCUCAGUUCAGUUUCUUCAGCCUGUUUGUCUUCAUCUUGUGUUAUCCUGUGUUUACGCUUCCUGUACUCUGUGCUUGUCUUCAUUUCAUCAUGAUGACUAUGUCUGUAUCCUGUUAUGCUUACUUCUGAGUACUUAUUCUGCUGCUAGUAGUUCUUCGCUAAGGAAUUUCCUCACCGGCAAAUUCCUCAGUGAAGAAUUCAUAAAAAUCGCCUAUUCACCCCCCCUCUAGUCGAUAUAACGCACUUUCAAUUGGUAUCAGAGCAAGGUACUCCCUUGUUCUGUGUGAUUUUGGUUUAACCACCUGGAGUUUUAGUUAUGUCGACUGCAGGAUUGAGGAACGUUUCCUGCCCCAUCUUUGACGUCAUGAGUAUCCUCGGUGGAAGGCCAUGAUGAAGAAGCGACUCAUGGCUAUGGACAGCGAACUGUGGACCGUCACUGAGAUCGGUCUUACCGAUCUAUGCAAGAUGGCUGAGGCUGAUGACAUUCGCAAGUACACUCUACUCAACCUCACUGCGAAGGAUGUCAUCUGCUCUAGUCUGUCCCGAAAUCAGUUCAGGAACGUCAUGCAUCUCAAUCACGCGAAGCUAAUCUGGGACCGUCUCUCUGAGGUCUAUGAUGGACAUCUUACUCGUCAUGAUCCUUGGUUUGAGGAUUACAAGGAAUCUCUCAAGGAGAUGAUAUUCGAACCAGAAUCAUCAUCGUCCAACCCCUGCCUUAUGGCAAACAGUGCUAAGGUAACUGAAUGCUACCUAUCCGAAUCUAGUGAUGAUGAAUCUGACGAUGAAUUUGGACCUAGCUAUGUUAAACUUGCUUCCCUUGCCACUAAACAACAAAUAGCUUUGGAAAAAGUUCAUUACAUGCUAAAUAAGAGCGAUGAUAUGUUGGGUGAAGAAAUGGAUCAGUCAAAAGCCUUGGUUGAAAGUCUUCAGGGACUCCAUUCCAAGUUUGAGGACCUUCAAGGUCAUCAUAACGCUCUCUUAUCUGAUCACGAGAAGCUUUCUCUUGAACUUCUUCAAAGGAAGCAAGAUCUUGAGAAGCUAAGAGUGAGUUAUGAAGAUCUUCAGAAGGAGCGCGAUUCAUUGCUAGCUCAACAAAUCAACGCUUCUCAGGAAGAAUUUGUUCCUCCAUGCUUAAAGUGCAUUGAACGUGAAUCUGCUAAUUCUUCACCUGAAUGUUCAAAUGCUUCAAAUGUUACAAAUUCUUCACCUGCCACUACUAUAUCUAAUUCCUCAUCUGAGGACAUUGCUAGUAUCACUAACGAUGCAAGGCUGAAGGAAUUGUACACGACAGACAUGUACAAAAGCCUCAAAGGGCAUCAGAUUCUUUGUGAUGUGCUCAAAAAGCAGAUCCUCAACAGAAACCCUAGAAAAGAGGGUAUUGCCUUUGAGAGGAAACUCAACGCUGAUGGAACAUAUUGGAAGCCUGAGCAGUACCCCAAAACCUCAUGGGUUGCUGCAAAGGGACCUCCAGUUGAUCCAUCUAACUUAUCUGGCUUUACAUGUGAAUCUUCUCAUUCUUCUGAUGAGUCAUUUGACUCCAACUAUAAAUUGUUCAAAAAUCAGAAUGGUGAAGUAUUUGCUAGAUAUGUUGGCACUAACUGCAGGAACGGUUCUCCUAUGAAGAAAAUCUGGGUUCCCAAAAGUUAUGUUGAAAGUCUUCAGGUGAAUGUCCUUAUGACACCACCUGUGAAGAACAGGAACCCCAGAUCCAAUUCUUCAUAUGGACCUAAUUCUUCACAUGGAUCAAAUUCCUCAAAUGGAUCAAAGUCCUCUUAUGAUCAUCAUCGUGCUAACCCUUCUGUUUCGCAGGGUAGAGCUAAGGGCUAUGAAUAUGCGCAUUAUUCUUCAAAUCAAUAUGUUCAUAAGUCCUCGAAGAAUUUCUCUGCUUAUUCAUAUGCUUACCCUAACCCCUCUUAUGUGAAACGAAAUGGAUUGGCUUCUAUGCCACCUUUCUCAUAUGGUGCUCGCAGAGUGAUGAACUCUUUGCCACCCCUUCAGAUGUGGGUGGUGAAGAAAAAGAACUAAUCUCUUAUGCAGGGUCAGGUCUCCAGACGUGCCUUAAAUGUCUGAAGAAUUUGCUGGGGGCCUGACAAAAAUGCCUGAAAGGACGCAGGCGAAUCAUGAUGAAAUGAACUUUCAUUUCACACGUCCUCAUACUGAAAUAUCUGUUUUACUGCUUGAUGAAAUUCAUCUGAUGAACUUGAUAUCAUAUUCUUCACUGAUGAAGUAUAUGAGAUCGUAAGUUGCACUAAUUCAUCUGUAGGAUGAUCAGCCCAAAGCCAACGAGUGGGUUCUAGAUAGUGGAUGUACAAAUCACAUGACGGGUGACAAGAGUCUAUUGAUGGAUGCUACUUUGUCACCGUCACAUCUAAAGCAUAUCAUCUUCACUGAUAAAGGCAAAAGUCAGGUAUUGGGUCUAGGUAAGGUUGCGAUCUCAAAGGAUCGACACAUGGACAAAGUCAUGCUUGUCGAGUCCUUAGGAUACAACCUCAUGUCUGUCUCAAUGCUUUGUGAUCUUGAUAUGGUUGUUGUCUUUGGCAAGUAUCGUUGUGUUGUGAUCAUGGAAGUUGACCAUUCCAAAGUCUUCGAAGGCUUUAGGAGAGGAGAUCUGUAUAUUGUUGAUUUCUCUACAGGACCACAACCAGCCGUGUGCUUACUCGCAAAAGCUUCAGAAGGCUGGCUAUGUCAUCGACGACUUGGUCAUGCUGGCAUGAGGAAUCUGAACACGCUUGCAAAGAAGAAGCAUGUCAUUGGCAUUGAGAAUGUCAAAUUCCUCAAGGAUCACUUAUGCGGAACUUGUGAAGCUGGAAAGAUGACAAAGGCCAAGCAUCCGGCGAAGACUAUCAUGACCACUACUCGCCCAUUUGAAUUGCUUCACAUGGAUCUCUUUGGUCCUAAUCAUUAUUCUGCUGUUUCAAAUGAUGCAUCUCUAUAUGGCUUUGUUAUUAUUGAUGACUAUUCUCGUUACACAUGGGUACACAUUGUCACUUACAAACAUGAAGUGCAGGAAAUCUUCAAACGAUUUUCCUCGAGGGCUUUAACCAACUUUGGUGUGAAGAUCAAGCACAUCAGAACUGACAACGGGACCAAGUUCAAGAAUUCCGGUCUUGAUGGCUAUCUUGAUGAACUUGGUAUUACUCAUGAGUUAUCUGCUCCUUAUACUCCUCAGCAGAAUGGCAUCAUGGAGCGCAAGAAUAGAACCCUCGCUGAAAUGGCUCGCACUAUGCUUGAUGAAUACAAGACGCCUCGUCGUUUCUGGAUUGAGGCAAUUGAUACUGCGUGCCAUGUCAUCAAUCAAGUAUAUCUUCACAAAUUCUUCAAGAAGACAGCCUAUGAACUCCUCACUAACAAGAAACCCAAUGUGAGUUAUUUCAAAGUCUUCGGUGCUAAAUGUUGGAUUAGAGAUCCUCAUCACAAUGCUAAAUUUGCACCGAAAGCACAUGAAGGUUUUAUGCUUGGUUACGGAAAGGACUCGCACACCUACAGAGUCUUCAACAAUGUUCUUCACAAGGUUGUUGAAACUGUAGAUGUGUGGUUCGAUGAAACUAAUGGCUCGCAAAGAGAGCACCUACCUUCUGUAAUAGAUGAACCAGCACCUGAGGAUUCCAUCAAGUUCAAGGCUACUGAGGAUGUUAUUCCUACCGAAGAAUCUACUGAAGAAUUCAUUCCAGAACGUGAAGAAAAUCAAGCUGGUGCACCUGAUGAAAAUACUGAAGAAAGUGGUGCUGAAGAAAAUGCUGAUCAAAUUCCUCAACGACAAUCAGCUCAUCCUCGCAUUGCAAAAGAAGUGCAAGUGGAAAAGAUCAUCGAUGACAUUCGAGCGCCAGGUCCUCUCACACGCUCAAAAGCUUCACAUUUAUCUAACUUUUGUGGGCACUAUGCUUUUGUCUCUAUCACAGAGCCCACUAAGGUAGAUGGAGCAUUUCUGGAGCCUGAGUGGAUUUAGGCCAUGCAAGAAGAAUUACAUCAGUUCGAGCUCAACAAUGUCUGGGAACUGGUCAAACGUCCAGAUCCUCGCAAGCAUAAUAUCAUUGGCACAAAGUGGAUCUACCGCAACAAGCAAGAUGAAAAUGGCCUUGUGGUGAGGAAUAAGGCAUGACUUGUAGCUCAAGGCUACACACAGGUUGAAGGAAUUGAUUUCGAUGAAACUUUGCACCUGUUGCUAGACUUGAGGCUAUUCGCAUAUUACUUGCUUAUGCUAACCAUCAUAAUAUCACUUUAUAUCAAAUGGAUGUGAAAAGUGCAUUCCUCAAUGGUAAGCUUGAGGAAGAAGUAUAUGUUGCUCAACCCCCAGGUUUUGAAGAUCCAAAGAACGACGACAAAGUCUUCAGACUCAACAAGGCCCUCUAUGGCCUCAAGCAGGCCCCUCGGGCGUGGUAUGAUACUUUGAAGGAAUUCUUCGUGAAGAAUGGCUUCACACCCGGUUCACUCGACCCUGCUCUCUUUACUAAAUCUUAUGAUGGUGAACUGUUUGUGUGCCAAAUAUGCGUUGAUGAUAUUAUCUUUGGCUGUACUAACCAACGUUAUAGUGAUGAAUUUGCCUAUAUGAUGAGUGAAGAAUAUCAAAUAUGAUGGGAGAGUUGAAAUUCUUCUUAGGUCUUCAAAUUCGUCAACAACACAAUGGCAUAUUCAUAUCUCAGGAGAAAUACCUCAAGGAUGUUCUGAGGAAAUUCGGCAUGCAAGAUUGCAAAGGCGUCAAAAUUCCUAUGCCCACAAAUGGCCAUCUAUGCACCGAUGAAAAUGUUAUUGACUUCGAUCACAAGGUAUACCGCUCCAUUAUUGGCUCUUUAUUGUACUUAUGUGCAUCUAGGCCAGAUAUAAUGCUUAGUGUUUGCAUGUGUGCCCGAUUUCAAGCUACACCAAAGGAAUCACAACAUAAGGCUGUGAAGCAUAUUCUUUGAUAUCUAGCUCACACACCAACACUAGGAUUAUGGUACCCCAAGGGCUCAACUUUUGAUCUCAUUGGAUAUUCUGACUCUGACUAUGCUGGUGGUCGUGUGGACCGCAAGUCAACAUCUGGUACUUGUCAUUUCCUUGGACAAUCUUUGGUCUGUUGGUCCUCGAAGAAACAGAAUUGCGUAUCUCUGUCUACUGCUGAAGCUGAAUACAUUGCUGCUGGUUCUUGUUGUGCUCAAUUGCUAUGGAUGAAGCAAACCCUCAAGGACUAUGGCAUCAACGUGAAGAAUGUGCCUCUCCUCUGUGACAAUGAGAGUGCCAUCAAGAUUGCUCACAACCCAGUUCAGCACUCGAAGACAAAGCACAUUCAGAUUCAUCAUCAUUUUCUUCUUGAUCAUGUGUUGAAGGGCGACAUCUCCAUCGAGCACGUGAAGACUGAAGAACAGCUAGCCGAUAUCUUCACAAAGCCCUUGGAUGAGAAGAGAUUUAGCAAGUUGCGGUGUGAGCUAAAUAUCUUAGAAUCUUCGAAUGUUCUUUGAAAAGGACACACAUCCUGACACUUAUGCAAAAUUGAUGACUUAGAUGUGCAACACAUGAAGAAACGUUUUUCUUCAAUCAAUGAAGAAUAACACUCUAAGUGUGAAGAAAUUAAUGAAGAAUUUGAUUCUCAGAACCCUACGACAAUUGUACGCGGUGUCUGAAUUCAUCAUUCUUAUACGGUGGGUCACGCCACCACCAAAGUUGAAAAUCUUCAUUUUUGAAAUUCCUCAAUUUUUUUUUAAAUUCUUCAGUUUUUCAAAUUCUUCAACUUUGCAAAAUCUUCACUGGUUCUGAUGUUUUUCUUCAUUGGGUAUAUAUAUAUAUAUAUAUAUAUAUAUAUAUAUAUAUGAGUUUAUGUCCUCUACAACAUUCACUUAUGGCUAUUUCUUCAAGUUUCUUCCUCUACUAAGUGAAUGUGAUCGGACCCUUUCCCCUCGAUGCUAUACUCAACCCAAUAUAUUCACAAAUUCUUCAUGUGCGUUCUAUUUGAAACUCGUUCAAAAUCUUCACUGUGUCCUUGACAGCUGAAGAAUAUGCGAACGGAACUUUAAACUAAUCUUAUCCAAAUUUUCGGUUUUACCGCUCAAACCGUUCCGGAUCCCACGAUAGACUUAUAUAUUCACCCAUGAUCUAACACGAUCUCCACUUCUCAGUACGUAGGUGACACAUGUCAAGCAAAGGAGAAGGGUCAGGGGCAUGUUCGUCCUAAAUCUUCGGGCAAACAGUUUUUCACUACCACUAUAAAUACCCCCUCUCCCCUUCCUCACUUCCUUUACUCCGCUCGACCUCUCUCUCUCUCGCUCGAGCUUCUCAAACCCUAGCGCUGCCACUACUCCAUCGUCGCCGGUGAGGAAGAUCUUCACUGCCUCGACCUUGUCACCGUCGUACUUGCGCCGACCGCGGAAAUCUUCACUCCGCCGCCGCCAUAGCUGUCUUCCUCUACCGAGUUAGGGCGUGGAAGAUCUACACCGACGAACUUCACUGUUCUACUUCACAGUUUGUCGUGUUCUUCAUCAAGGGUAAUUAAAAGUUACUUUUAGUGCCCUCUUUGAUUCAGUUUUUCACAAAAAAAAAUCUUCAAAGGUGUUUUAUUCUUCAAAUCCUCACACACAAAACACCUCACUAGUUAUCUGUUCUUGAUUGGUUUCUCUAAGCAUCAUUUUUCUUCAAGAUUCCUCAAUUGUGUGGAUCCUCAAUCUAUACAACUCUGGAACCUAAGACAAAGAAUGCUUAGUGAAAUUCUUCAAGGCUCGUCUGGUCAAAUUCCUCAAACUUGUUCUUUUUGAAAAAAAUCUUCUGAGAACGCAUAUGACCUCUCCAAAUUCCUCGCAACUAUACUCUGUUCACAGGUACUCAUGUCCGCUGCUAAAUCACUAGGUUCUCAUCAACUUAACUCAUUUGUAGCGUUCCUCGAAGAAAAGUUGCAUACUUCUUCAGAGAAUUCGAUUGUUCAAAUUCCUCAUCUAAAGAAUAUGGCUGAUGGUAAGAAGCCGCAGAAAGGAGGAAAGAAGCCUGAGGUCAUGACUACUUUUGAAAUCCCUGAGGACCUAUAUACUGACUAUUGCACACCUGAUGAGGCCGAGUUCGGAAAAUAAAGCAAAACUCAGCGCAAGGUGCGCAUACAGAGGAUUGAACGGAGAUGGGCAAGAGAAUGGAGGGAGUACAUAUAUGUUACUCCAAAGUAUAUGAAGAAAUUCGCACUUAAUCCUCCAUGCCCAAGAGCUCCAUUGGCACCUGGCCAAGAAGCUGACCCCACCAUCAUCAAGCGUGGUGAGGACUUUCCUGAAGAAUGGGCCAAACGCCAAGGCAAGUUGGCAAGACAAUCCAAAGAAGCAGUGAGGAAAUUCAAUGAAGACUCUGCUACUGCUGCUGCCACUGAGGCCUCUGUCAGGCCAAGAAAAUCAAUGGCAAAGAAGCCCGCUCACAAGCCAAGUGCUUCACCAACUAUGCCCUCAUGGCCAGAUUCUUCAAAGCCCUCAUGGCCAGUUCCAAAUGCUGCUCCUGCUCCUCCAAAGUCCUCUGCUCCUCCUCCAAAGUCCUCAGCUGCUCCGGCAAAGUCCUCAACACCUGUACAUCUGGCCACGUGCCAAAGGACAACAUGCAUCUCUAUUGCCUCUGGUGCCUCAGCAAGUUCCUCAGCUGCACCAAAAUCUUCAUCAGGCCCCACUCUGUUGAAGACAAAGGCCACAGCUGGUCGAGGUCCUCGGCCAAGUCCGAAGAAGAAACAGGUUGCCUUCCAAGUGCCAUCUGACGAUGAAGCUGAUGAUGAUGAACUUGCAGAAAUCAUCAGAGACCGACAAGAAAGGGCCGCUAGAGCCAAAGGCACAAAUGUGCCACUGCUUUUGGAUCCAAGGGCGAUCCUAGAUUACAUUGAUCUCUGGCACAAGGACCCAAACACUCCUAUGCCUGAUUUCAAUCUUACUUCUGGUCAAAGUCACAUGCUGACCCAUUUCAUCACUGAAGAGAAAUGGAAAUUUGAGAAGGCCAGGCAGAUCAAGAAGACUCAGUUCAAAAAGGAGAAGUUCCUGAAGAAUAACGUUGUCAAUAUGACAACUGAUGAACUCCUCAAGAUCCAAGCUGAAAUCAAAGCCCUCAACGAUGAUUUCAAUGCUUACUAUGCUGAUUGGCAAGGAGCCAAAGUCAGGUUUGUGAAACUGACUGAGAAAUUCACAAAUGUUGCAGCCCCAUCGCAACAAGAAAUUCCUCAAGCUGAAGCGUCUGCUCAGCCAACUGAAGAACAUGCCAGCACCGCUGAUGACAUUCAGGCUGCUGAUGAAAAUGCUAGUUCCAGGGUUGAUGACUCCAUUCCCAGCCGUUGAAGAAAUUGCCAGGGCAUCCACUAGUGGUGCGCCUGAUGAAACUGAAGAAGUCAGGGCAACUGCAUCAGUUGCGCCUGAGGAAAUUCAACCAGAUUCCGCAGCUCCUCCAGCGCCUACACCAACUCCUAUUCUUCCAUAUGCAUCAGAUGUGAGGAAGACCAAGGCUGCAGAGCGAGCUGCAGUGAAGAAAAGGAAAGCAUCCAGUGCUUCAGAAUCUUCAGCUCCAAAGAAGAUGAAGCCUUUGACAAGCUCUAUUGAAAAUCCAAUUGAUGCUAUUCCGAUUUCCACCAUGCCAUCAAAGGACCUUGUUCCUUUUGGUGAGGAAUAUGUGAUCCCUAGCGGAUCUGAUGAAGAACCUCAAUCUGCUGCUUCGUCAGAGUAGGUUGAUGAAGAAAUUGAAGUGGAUACGAUCUCUUCAACGAAUGUUGCUUCCUCGCCAAUGCCUCAGUUCAUAGCUGAAGAGGCUGGCGUUGAAGAAAAUGAAGAUGAAGACAUGGACAUUGGCUGCACAACGCCCGUGAUGAAUGAUGACUUUUGGGAAAGUCAGCACCCCAAUUCCCCACUCUUCACCCCACUUCAACAAAUACCUCAGUCCCCUGCACCAACUGUUCAAAUGGGCUCUGAAGAAACUCAUCCCACUUCAUCUGUCCAUGAAGAAAUUCCAGCCGCUAGUGCUGAAGAAUUUGCUAUUGUUGAACCUUUGAACACGUAGACUGCAACUGAAGAGGAACCAGAAAUUCCUCAGCCUGAAGAACCUGAGAUUGCAAUUCCUGAGGUUGUGAUGCAACUCACUGACACUCCAGUGCCCAAGCCAACGGAUCCAUUCUCAAAGAAGCAAAAGUUCAAGGCUGAAGAUUUCUUCAGCGAGCAUGUGUUCUUCACUGACUAUAACCCCUAUGACUCUGCUCGCAUAAGGAAGAGGCGUUUCUGGACUGCUAGUCAAGCCAAUUUCUAUUCCUCAGUAGUGUUCAACAAAGACAAAGUCUUCGAUCAUGAACAUAUCCCUCAUGUGGACAUGGAGUAUUUGCCGUGCUUCGAGCCAGUCCUCAGUGUUCUUCACGAUGCUGGAUUGCUAAAUUUCUGCACUGACAUCUGUGAUUGGAAUGAAGAACUCAUUCUUCAAUUCUAUGAAACGCUGCACAUCACAGGAAACUCUGAAGAUGUGAAUUCAUGGGUGCUGAACUGGAUGUCUGAAAAUACUCACUACAAGGCAUCAACAACUGAAUUGCUUCAUGCCCUCCCACUCAGUCCUCCCCUUGAUGGUGCUCAUUGCGUCUACAGUGAACCUGAGCUUUCCAAUCAUUUCAUGCAAGUGCUAAUGAAGCCUUUGAAACCAGGGUAGGCUCCUCGAACCAAAUUCCUCGUCAAGGAAUUACUAUAUGUGCCUCGGACUGUCUAUCGCAUUCUGACGAAGACAAUGAGUCCUAUCAAAGGCCAUGACUCAAAUGAUGAAGAAGUCGUUGGCAUCAUGAAGAACAUGCUUUUCAAUAUCAUUCAUUGCGUUCCCGUCAACUUCCAUGAUUUCUUCAUGAGGACUCUGGCGAAUAUUGCUAUGUCACCAUUUGAGCUGAAGCCUUAUGCACCAUGGAUUAUGAGAUUCAUCAGGACAAGGGCUUCACUAAAUUACAAACCUGACACUCUGAACCAUGGCAGCUACUUGCCUCCAAUUGAAGUCCUCAAACGGACAUAUUCCUCAACUGAUGACAAAGGCAAGGCAACUGCUGUGAUAGAUGAAGGCAUUCGUCCAUUGGAUGGUCAAUUUCGCAAGGCUGCAUCCUACUCCACCAAUGAUGACUCUGCCACACAUGACUCUGCCGCCAAGCAAAAUCCUCAAGCCACAGCACCUAGGGUGAUGACUGAUCGUGAGUUACUCCUCAGUCUUCAUCAGAAAGUUGAUCGCAAUCAUAAAUGGGUCAAGCGUCAGUUUGGUUCAAUUCUUCACAACAUGACCUCAACACACAAUGCAGUGAAGAAAAACCACUACUGCCUCCAUGAAACCUUCAACCGUACCUAGGCUGUUCUAUCUCAUGUCUACAGUGCUGAUGAUCUGAAGAAAAUGGGUCUCAAGGAAGAAUUUGACUGGUCUGCACCUCCACCGAAGAAAUUCAAGAAGGUCAAGGUUCCUUCCUUGGUGGCCAGCUCCUAUUCUUCAUCGCGCGAGACUGAUGAAAAUGAAGAUUUGGACGACACUGCGGCAGGCCCUACUAUGACAACCGACCCCGACGCUGGCGCUCCUCCAUCAACUUGAUAUUCUUCAGGGGCGUUAGUCCUCAGUUUCGACCCUUUUUGGUCAUUCAAUGACAAAGGGGGAGAAAUUUGAGUUAGUCUUCAAGCGGGUCUAUUAUAUGGGCGUUUUUGCUAAGUUACAACUCUCGUUCUUCUGAAACUUUAUUGGAUCGAGUUGUAAUCUUAAACCCGAUGGUGCCCUGAUACUUUUGAUGCACUGUGCUUUGAUACUCUUGAUACAUUAUUCUGCAUGCUUGUUCCUCAUUAACAUUAUUGCACGCAUGUUGAAUUUCAUCAGGUACCAUAUUUCAUCAUGCAUUUCAAAUUCUUCAUAUUAUAUGUCAAAUGCGUGUAUGAAUUACAAGAUAUAGGGGGAGAUCUCCAUGAUUUAACUCUUCAAGUGUGCAUUGCUUCAAAAGCAAUUUCCUCACUAUGCACAUCUUCAGGGGGAGUUCUUCUAUAUCUUGCAAUCAAAUUCCUCAAUAUCAGUACUUACACUUCAUAUGUUUAUCCCCGUUGAAAACUUAACCUAUAUUGUCAUCAAUCACCAAAAAGGGGGAGACUGUAAGUGCAUCUAGUGCCCCUUAGUGAUUUUGGUGUAUUGAAGACUUAUAGGUUAAGGGACUAAUGCGUUUGUGAGUGUACAUAGGUCUAUAAGUCUAUGAGGAGUUUAAUAUUUACAGAGAAAGUUGACCCCUAAAAAUGAAUAUCUUCGACUGAAGAUUUUGGUAUUCCUGAAGACUUUCAUGAAGACUUUGAAAGUGAAGAAAUUGGUGUGUCCGUGAAGACUUGAUAUUCAUGCGAGGAAUAUGAAGCUUGAAGACUUUCGUUUUCAUAGUUUUGUUUUUCUCUUUCUUGAGUCAUAGGAAACACCAUACUGUUAAAAGGGGUCGAGGAAAUACUAAGGAAAAAUUUCCAAGUGAUGCUCAACUCAAAAUUAUACACCUACCAAACCCUUCGAGUGAAGCCUUUGGAAAUCUCAUACAGUUCAGUCAAUUUCUUCAGUGACAGAGACGAAGUUCUUCUAGUCGCUGAGGAAUUUGUUCUGACUGAGGAGUUAGGAAUUCGCAAUGCGGAUUGCCUACACAGUGAGGAACAUGAUAGACCUGAGGAAUUUGAGAGUCAAAUUUCCGGCCGUUGCUGUGCUACGCGCCAGCUGUCCCAAAAUAUCUUAUCCACCUAACGGUCAUAUCAGACAAGGGCAUUUAUGUCUUAUCAUGUCGGGCUGCUCCCUAGGCUAUAAAUAGCCGCCCCCUACAACCACUAGUUGGUUGGCUGCUCUGAGAGAAACUGACACUUGUCAUUUGAGAGCAACCCAUCCUCCGAGGACUUUGAGCAAAAAUCAUCGAGUGAGGAAAAACUCAAACCCCAAACACCUACAAACCCAAAAGUGAUUUAGCAUCACUGAAGAGAUUGAUCCUGCGUGGAUCCGACGCUUGUUACCUUUGAAGACUGUGCUUCUUCCAGACGGUUAGGCGUCAUGGUCUAGAGCAUCCAAGAGGAAUUGUGGAUCGCCGAGUGACCGAGUCUGUGAAGGUUUGGAAGUUGCUUGAAGACUUACCACGAGUGAUUGGACGAGGUCUGUGUGACCUUAGUUCAAGGAGAAUACGGUGAGGACUUGGUGUCCUGAGCUGCAUGCUCAGCGACUGGGUGUUCGAGACUGUGUGUCCUCGAGUUUAAAUACUCAGCCGCUCCAACCAGACGUACAACUGAGACAGCAAUUGGAACUGGUCUACCAAAUCAUUGUCUUCACCAACCUUACUGGUUCUAUUUCCUCAACUCUUUCAAUUCCUCAUUAUUGUGUUGAGUGAUUGUUCAUAUCUGUUUUUGAAGACUUUAACUGAAGACUUUCUCAAUUUCCUCAGUUCAAUUUCUUCAGCCUGUUUGUCUUCAUCUUGUGUUAUCCUGUGUUUACGCUUCUUGUACUCUGUGUAUGUCUUCAUUUCAUCAUGAUGGCUAUGUCUGUAUCCUGUUAUGCUUACUUCUGAGUACUUAUUCCGCUGCUAGUAGUUCUUCGCUAAGGAAUUUCCUCACCGGCAAAUUCCUCAGUGAAGAAUUCAUAAAAAUCGCCUAUUCACCCCCUCUAGUCGAUAUAACGCACUUUUAGAUGCCCUUCAAUUUUGCACUUGAAGCAAAUAAUCUUGGCCGAAUUCUUAACUUGCUCUUGGCCCUUCUUCUUGAUUCUCUUGGAUUUCUUCUUCUUAUUGGAGUUGAAUCCAAGUCCACCUUUGUCAUUGGGGGAUUUUUGCACACUGAAGAUAUUGUUGAGUGUGGAAUUCCCUUCAUGACCCUUUUCCAAGUCUUUCUUCAAAGAUGUGACUUGGGCCUUGAGCUCUUUGAUUUCCUCUACAUGGUUAGUCUCAACACAAGUACUAUAGGAAGUAUAAGCUUCAUUGUUAGAGCAACAAGGCAAGGAAAGCAAUUCAUCACAAGAUGUACCAACAUUGUAGUAGAAGAAUUACAAGGACUAGCACAUGGCAAUAUACUAUCUUGACUAGAAGUAGUGCUAGUAUCCACAUGAGGCUCACUAGAUGUUACCUUAGCAAUCAUGGCCUCAUGAGCUAUCUUUAGCACACUAUGGGAUACUAGAAGAUCAUCAUGAGAGCUUGAGAGCUUUUCAUGACUUUCUUCCAAUUUCCCAUAAUUGCUAGAUAGCACGUCAAGUUGAGCCAGUAGCUCAACAUUCUCCUUCAAAAUGGAUGCUUCACAAGUAAUAGAGUUAGUAGCACAAGCAUCAUCAUUUACAACAAUAGGAGAGGACAACUUGGCAAGCUCUUUUAAAUAAGAAGCUUCAAGUUGGGCAUGAGACUCGGUGAGUUUGAUGAGCUCACCCUUGAUGACCCUUGAGCCAUUUUCGAGGUGCUCAAAAUCCUCAAGGAGUCUAGCAUGAGAAACUUCAAGCUUAGCAUUUCUAGUUUUGAAAUCAUUGGCCACCUCAAGAGCUCUAUGAUGAGAUUCCCUCCCUCUAGAUAAUUCUAGAGUAAAAGUCUCCUCAAGAGAUUCAGAGGUGGCUUGUUCAUGUUCAAGAGCUUGAGAUAGCUCCGCGAUCUCAUUUGCGUAAUCACACUCAAGAGCUUCCAUUUUCUUAAUGGUGACCUCAUGCUCCUCUAGACGAGAUUCCAACUCCUCAAUGUAUUUCUUUCCAUCAAUGGCAAUGGACAUUAUUUCCAUGAAGUUGGAACAAGCAAUUUUAUUUUUAUGAAGAGCUUUAAAAAUCAUUUCCCCCUUAAUUUUUAAGGAUGCAACAUUAUCAUUCUCUUCAUCAUUAUCCUCAUCAUCAUUAGCAUCAACAUCAUCAUCAAGAGACAUAUUGGGGUACAAAGUAGGAGAUACCUUUGACGCCUUAGCCAUAAGGCAAAAAGCAAUAGAUGAUGAUGUAGGAUCCCUUGAGGCACCAUUAAACACCACAUCUUGUUCCAUGGAGUGUUCGGUUUCCUCUACAUUGUUAGCACAACAAUUCGAGGAAAUAGAUGCAUUUUUAUCAUGGAAACAAGACAUAGCAAGCAUAUCAUCAUGAGAUUUAGUCGAGCAAUUUCUACAUGAUAUGCAAGGACUAUCAACACAAGCAUGUGAAACAUUUGGAGUGCUCGAAGUGUUAAAGUCCAAAGAAGGAGCAUUGCAAUAAUAUAGUGAUGAAGGAUCAUCCACAAUAAGCAUACUAUCAUCAUUGCAAUGACCAACACUACUCACCAUAUCAUUACCUUUUGGCAAACCACAUGUAGGUGAAGUAGAAGAAGUUGAGAAGACUAUACGGCCGGAGGUGGAGGGAGAAAAAUCAUCUCCACAAAUCUUGGACACACCAUAUUUAUCUUGAAGCUUCAUCCACAACUCAUGAGCAUCCCAGAACGACAUGAGUUGAAAUAUAACUACAUUGCUCAAAGCAUCGAAAAGCACAUUAGAAUCUUGAACAUUGAGAUAAGAGUUUUUCUCAUCCUCUAAAGACAAUCUUUGGGGAUCCUUUGGAGGAGAAAACCCCAUAUCUACAAUUCACUCUAAAUUUGGGUCCAUGACCCUAAAGAAAUUAAGCAUGCGAAUUACCCAAACAUCAAAAUUUGUGCCAUUGAAACUAAGAGUGUCAAAGAAUGCUAAUCCCCUAGUCGAGAUCUUUACUCUCUGGGCGGUUAAGCCCAACAAAGAGAGACGAGGCUCUGAUACCAAUUGAAAUAUCGUGGAUGUCGCCUAGAGGGGGGGGGGGUGAAUAGGCGCUUUAAAAUAAUUACGGUUUAGGCUUGAAGAAAUGCGGAAUAAACCUAGCGGUUAAUUUGUCAAGCACAAAACCUAAAACAACUAGGCUCACCUAUGUGCACCAACAACUUAUGCUAAGCAAGAUAAGUAACUAUGUGAUAGCAAGAUAUAUGACAAAGAACAAUAUGGCUAUCACAAAGUAAAGUGCAUAAGUAAAGGGCUCGGGUAAGAGAUAACCGAGGCACGCGGAGACGACGAUGUAUCCUGAAGUUCACACCCUUGCGGAUGCUAAUCUCCGUUUGGAGCGAUGUGGAGGCACAAUGCUCCCCAAGAAGCCACUAGGGCCACCGUAAUCUCCUCACGCCCUCGCACAAUGCAAGUUGCCGUGAUUCCACUAAGGGACCCUUGAGGGCGGUCACCAAACCCGUAAAAAUGGCGACCCUUGGGGGCGGUCACCGAACCCGUACACUUUGGCAACCCUUGGGGGCAGUCACCGGUACCCGUCAAAUUGCUCGGGGCGAUCUCCACAACCUAAUUGGAGACCCCGACGCUUGCCCAGAGCUUUACACCACAAUGAUUGAGCUCCAAAGCACCACCAACCGUCUAGGGCGCCAAAGCACCCAAGAGGAACAAGCUCAAGGGCACCAAGCACCCAAGAGUGAUAAGCUUCUCAACUUGAAACUUCCAUGUAUCACCGUGGAGAACUCAAACCGAUGCACCAAAUGCAAUGGCAAGGGCACACGGAGUGCCCAAGUCCUUCUCUCCCAAAUCCCACCGAAGCAACUAAUGCUAGGGAGAAAAAUGAGAGGAAGAACAAGAAGGAGAACACCAAGAAUUCCAAGAUUUAGAUCCAAGGGGUUCCCCUCACAUAGAGGAGAAAGUGAUUGGUGAAAACUGAAUCUAGAUCUCCUCUCUCUUUUCCCUCAAAAACUAGCAAGAAUCCAUGGAGGGGUUGAGAGAUAGCAAGCUCAGAGAAGGUCAACAAUGGGGGAAGAACACGAGCUCAAAGGAUAAGGUUCAAUGGGGAAAAAGACACCCUUUUAUAGGUGGAAAAAUAUCCAACCGUUAAGCUCACAGCCCGCACAGAGCGGUACUCACUACAAAAAAAAUACACUUCCGUGAUGAUACGUGUUUGUCACAGUAGGUCGCGUUUUUUGUCAUGCAUGUACAUCCAUGACAAAUUUAUGACAGAAUCAAGAUAGUCAUACCUGUGCUGUCGUAGAAGUGUUCCAUGACAUUGCCAAAAUUAUCAUCACGGAAGUGUCCACUUCCAUGACGAUAAAUCGCGCGUCACAGAAGUGCUUUCGUCAAGGGUGACUGACACGUGGCAUCCACCAUAACGGAACGCCGUUAAGCUAUCGGGUCGGGUUUUGGAUCCGAUAACCCGUUAACAGCCCCGACCAAUGGGGAUUUUCCACGUGUAAAAUCAUCAUUGGCUGGAGGAAACACGUGUCGGCUCGUUGUUGGGACAGAUGUCAUCCAUUCAUUGGACAGAAGGCACCUAUGAUACGUCGACACAUGGCACGGCCCAAUAGAGGCCCAUUCAUGUGAAAAGGACUACCCAUUUGACUUGGUCAAAAGGUGACGGGCCGGCCCAUGGAAAGCCUGUUAACGGCCUGUUCGCAUAUAGCCCAUUUACAGCCCGCUAACCCAAGGCCCAUUACGCCCUAUCUGAAUUAGGCCCAGUAGCGUCAUCUGGGCCAUCCAAUAUGAUUCCAGCCCGUUUUCACUUCUGGCCCAUGUAUGGCCCAUGACGUCUUUCGGCCCAUAUGAGGCCCUAUGUAACUCUUGGCCUAUUAACGGCCCAUGGUGAAACUGGCCCGCAAUGAACAAUGUAUCACUUUAGACCCAUUAACGGCCCGUGGUGAAACUGGCCCGUAAUGAACAGUGUAUCACUUUAUACCCAUUAAGGGCCCGUUAUUCAGUUGGGCCGUUUCUAGCCCAUGUUAUCUUUCGGCCUUCUCAGAGCCCAUUUAUUCUUGGGCUCAUUUCGAGCAUUCGUUUACUUACGGCCCGUUACUGUCAUUUUCUACUUGUGGGCCAAAUUCAGCAUGUGGUUACAGUCGGCCCAUUUGUGGUCCGUUAAUACAUUGGGCCAUUUUCAUAGCGUCAUCAAAUAAAGCCUAUUAACGAUGGCCCGUUAUGGUCAGCCCAUGAACGGAUGAUUCCAACUCUACCUUGUUUACGGCCAUAAUGCGGCCUGUUAUUGGCCCAUGUUUGGCCAAUCGAUCAUACGGCCCGUAUAAGGCCCAUUGAUGAUACGGCCCGUAGAAGGCCCAUUGUUUCUACGGCCCGUAGAAGGCCUACUGUUUCUACGGUCCAUAGAAGGCCCACUAUUUCUACGGCCCGUAGGAGGCCCAGUGUCACUACACUAAAUAUUAGCCCAUGGUUAUUGUGGCCUAGUUUUAAAAAAAUAGGUUAUUACAGCCACUAGCAAACUGCGGAAAAAGAACUGCACUGACUACAAGCAAACAAAUAAACAAGACAACAAGGAAAUAAAUAAGCAAGCAACUUAUGCUAGGCUAUCACGGCUAUUACACAUAUUACAUCCACUGGGCAUCAAAGUUCACCACCAGUGCAAAUAUAGGGAACACAGCAACAUAUAAACACCGCAGCAAAACAAGUCCAGAACUGAAACCACUUCAGAAGAGUUUAAGAAACAAUAUCCUAGGUACCCAUAAUGCUGGCAAGAUGCUUAGCAAGAUUAUUAACUUUCUCUUGUUUGGCGCUUAAAUCCUCCAGCGCUUGCUGUUGCAUAAGAAAGUACGCAUCUGAAUUCUGCAGGGACUUCCUCAGUCCUUCGGCUUCUUGCCGCAGCACAGCUGACUGAUGCCUUUCAGCUUGUAGCUGAGACUGAAGAAGUCGAAGUGAUUCAGGCAGCAAGUUCGAAGAGCUUGUGCCAGCGGUACUGGCCAGUAACUGGAACACUACAUCAACGCAGGACUGUGGGGUUUUCUCACUAUCUACAAGAUCGUUUUUAUCACCUUUCUUGGAGACCAACAGGGUUGUCUCACUAUCUUGAACCUUAUCCGCAUUACUUUCUCUACCAUACAUAGUGGGGUGCUCUUCUCCAAUAUUUUGUUUGCAUACUACAAGAGAAACAAGCAGACACAUCACAGGUUUAGCUUGUAGUAUACCAAACUCAUUUUGGUAAACCGGUUCAGUAGUAAGGUGGACAGGAUAACAGCAUGAAAACAAACAUAUAGCUAUGUACUAUGGUCACUGUAUUGUCCAUAUCAUUCUAGUUUAUGUUCCCUAAUCAAGAUAGAGACACAGUUCAACUCAUACAUUUUUAAGACACAGCAGCAUAGACAAAAUAUAAGUGUGAGAAACUACACAACAUUGGCAUCACUUGUAAUGUGCAUCACAUGAGAACAUAACUGUUUAUACAACUUAAACUGAAAUCAACAUAGAGCAAGAAGUUAGAACAGCAAUCCAGUUAAAGAAAUAGGUUUAAAACAAACCUGUUGCGCCAUUGGAGUUUCAAUUGGAUCCUUCAAAUUCGAAAGUAGUUGUUAUGAGUAAAUACAGUGAUGCAACAGCAAAGGAGUAUGGACAUAGCAGAUAGAAUUCAAUAUUGCGCAUAUGAUGUCUAAACUAAGCAAUGCAAUACACCAUAUGCAUCAUAUGAGAAAUAUAAACAUUGCAACUUAGAGCAUACACCUCAGGUGGGAUAUAGGACUGGUCAUCUGUCUCUGAAUCCUCCUCUGAGGAGCUCCCUGUAACCAUCGAGAUAUAUGCUUCAACAGGUACCAUUGCCUGCUCUGAAGACCUUGUUUUCACUCCAGAUUUUUCCAUAACCGGCUCAAAUGGCUGAUACACAUGAAGAGUAGUUCAAUAUACACAGAUUGUCGACAAAUGGAAUACAUAAUGAAAAAAAAGAUGGCAUGAGAUAAUUCACAUAUAUGAUGCCUGGCUCCAUGGCGGUGCAUAAUUCACAUAUAUGAUAACUAGCUCAAAAACAUGGCAUUGCAUAAUUCACAUAUCUGAUAUAGAAAGCAAACAGGAGGAAUUCACACAAAGCAUGUCUAAUCUAAGCAGAUGGCAUGGCAAUGCAAGACACCAUAUGGAUGAUAUGAGCAAUAUAACCCAGCCAAGUUAGAUCAUGCACCUCGGGGGGGGGGAAUAUGACUGGUCAUCUCUCUCUGAAUCCUCCUCUGAGGAGCUAUCUGUAACCAGCAAGAAAUCUGCAUCGACAGGUAGCACUGACUGCUCAGAAGACCUUGUUUUCACUCCAGAUUUUCCCAUGACCGACUCAAAUGGCUGAUGCACAGGAAGAGUAGAUGAAUGUAUAAACAUUGUUGACAAAUGGAAUACAUUAUGGAAAAAAAUAUGGCACGAUACAAUUCACAUACACGAUGACUGGCUAAACAGGAUGGCAUUGCAUGAUUCACGUAUAUGAUGCCUGGCUAAAGAAGAUGGCAUUGCAUAAUUCCCAUAUAAUCCCUCCGUUCCUAAAUAUUUGUAUUUUUAGAGAUUGCAAAUGGACUACCACAUACGGAUGUAUAUAGACAUAUUUUAGAGUGUAGAUUCACUCAUUUUGUUCCGUAUGUAGUCACUUGUUGAAAUCUCUAAAAAGACAAAUAUUUAGGAAUGGUGGGAGUAUGAUAUAGAAACCAAACAGGUGGCGUUCACACAAAGCAAAUCUAAACUAAACUGAUGACAUAUAAGAUGUAUAAUGUAAGCAAUGCAAGGCGCCAUAUGCAUGAUAUGACCAAUAUCAGCAUGCCAUGUUAGACCAAACACCUCAGGUGGUAAACAGGCAUGGUCGGCUCCUUCUGAAUCUCCAUCUGAACAGUUAUCUUCCUCUGGAAUACAAUCUGGAAAUGCAGGAGAGGGGGGGGGCACUUCGCCCACCAUGGAGCAGUGUCUGCAUGACAUUAUAUUCGCACGCAACGGUCUUCUCUUUUUCUCUACAUGUUCAGUACGAUUGUGUACAAUAUCUGACAUGCAUAAUAAAAAAAGUAGUUAGAUUUUGUAAGGCCUAAGGGGUGCAUGCAAAAAUCAAGACUGAUGGUAGCAAACGAGUGGAUGGAUCCAAAACUAAUGAUAGCAGGUAGAUUAUAGCUUCAGUUUAAAAAGAUAGACAAUCGAUCAUCUAUUGUUUGUUGGCCACCCAACAUGAACCACAUAGAAGACCCCAGAUGAACCAGAUAGUAGACAGAUACUAUUCGUUGCUGGCUCGAUAUGAGACCCAUGGGCAAUUCAAAACUCAAGAUUGAACGAUAAAGUAGCAGGUAAUAAUAACCGAUGUAUAACGUAAGCAAACAUGAAAGACUGCGACCUCUCUUCCGAAACUGUGUAGUCCUCAGGUUCAUCUGCUCAGUCGAUGAUGGUAAUGCAGUUGGCGUGGCUGCCGGCAACGGGGAAGAUGAUCUGAGGCGGCGAAAGAAAGUCUGCAGGGGGGAUCUCUGCUGCAGUGAACGCUUCUGUCGAUAGUGCACCUCAGGUGCGGUGGAUGACAGCACGGAAGGAGCAGGACAUAACACAUAGAGUUUUCUUUGACGCCAAUCUGAAAAUGAAGUAAAUCUGUAAGGGCUCCUUAGAAUUGGAGGAUUCUAUAAACGCAGGGGCAGGAAAAACACAGGAAUAGGAUAGGAAUGCACGUGCAAAACAGAGCAUUUGGAAACAUAGGAUUUCAGUCAACCUGGGUGUUUGGCUCACAUGAAUUGGAAGAACAGAGGAAUGGAGAAACAAAGUGAUGCGACGACUGUACAACCUCUUUGGCAUAGCCUUGUGGACCUCAGCAUCAUUGGGUUGGACGUGGAGGAUGGUGAUGAUGCUGGUGUGACUAUCGGAGGCGGGGAAGAAGAUCUGAGGCCUCUGGAAACGGCGGCGAGGGUACUGCUCCGCUGUGAUGGACGGUUCCAUCGUUGGAGCAGCUCCGCUGAGGUGUAUGGCGACGAGGCUGAAGCAUGACAAGAUAGACAACUUUAAUCUGAAGUGGGACCCUAAUAUCAUCUGUAACAGAUGAUGUAAAAUACAUCACCAAAAAGUGCUAGAUGUAAAAUGCAUCAGCCGCGCCACGGCUGCUCCGACAGAUGUUGUAAGUACUGUUCACUCUGAACUUAACUGAAGAAAAUGAACUUCACAGUCGAAACUGAAUUUUACUGUCGAAACUGAUUGAACUAGUAACAGAGCAUUGCAAUAGAUGUUUAGGGCGUUAGAGCAGUAGUAGCAGAGAAGCAGUGAUCUAAAUCAGCAGACGCUCAAGCAGGGAACGCACUAGCAAAGAGCAAGUCGUGCAGUAGCACCGGGAGCGAGUGCUAAAGCAGCAACUCCUGUAGCUGCCGGAGGUCGUGCAGUAGCAGCAGCAGCGCAAGCGAGAGCAAGAGUAGAGUAGCAGCACGAACGAAAGCAGGAGCUGUGCAGCAGCGCAACCGAUAGCAAGAACAGAGCCGCAACGCGAGCGAGAGCCGGAGCACCUGCAUCUAGUGCCGUUGUGGAGGUCGCUGCCGAGGAAGCAACGACAUGGGGCAGAGAUGUCGUGGAUGAUGUGGCCGGCGACGGCGCCGUCGAUGGAGACGCCAUGUCUGCUCGGUAUCGAGCACCGGCAGCCCCGUGAUAUCGAAUAAAAGAUAAAAUGCAGCGGUGAGUGCAGAACCUCCUUGGUGGCACCGAGUUGGCCUCGGCUUCAUCGGAGGAAUUGGUGAGGUUGCUGCGGUUCCGGUGGGGCAGGUCAAGACGGCGCUGUGGGGAUUGAGGUGGCACGAUAGAUGAGGCGAACGUCGGGGCAGCUCCUUGGAGGUGGAGGACGGGGCGGCUGAUCCGGCGGGACAACGAGAUCGACAACGGAUCCUCAUCCGGUGCGGUGGAUGAGGGAUGGCGAGAUGUUGCGGUGGACAACAUAGUCGGGGAAGAGUCUCCGGCUGGGCGGCGGUCGGGAGGCCGACGGAGGAGCAUGGGGUUUCGCGGGUUUUGGCGGUUUUGGCGGCCUCGGUGUGCGAAGGGGGAGGGGGGAGCCAAGCUUAGGGACGCGCUUGUCCGAAAUGUAGGGUAAGUUACCAGCGUACCCCCACCGGUUUUGACACCGCGACAUGGAGCUUCAUUUCCGGCUGAGGGGUAGAAGGGGGAUUUUGUGUGUGUGGGCUGCGGGAGCGAUUUUGGAUGAGGAGGGAGUUCUCCCGCGCAUCCAAAUUUCAGGAUAACAAGGCACGGCGCGGGUUGAAGAAGCGGGAGUUUCAAAGCAGGUGAGACAAAAGAUACUCGAGCUUGAAAAUUUCGGGAUAACAAGGUGCGGAUUCCUUGUUCGGCAGAACAAACUUAACGUGUAAAAAAAAUCAUACAAGACACAAGAGAGUCAUGUCCCCUUUUACUAUAUUGCUAUAGAUGCCAUUGAAAAAACUACAAGAAAAAUGUAAAAAAAAUCGGGAGAACAAGAUUACCCUGCACAGUACCAAAUCGAUUCUCACUUCCCUAAACAACAACAAAAAACAAAUCAAUUCCCGCCAAAGAAAGAGUAAUGUCCCCUUUUAUAUGAUUACAGAUGCCAUGAUCUCGAAUUUCAAUUUUUGAAUCCACGUUAUGUUGAAUUUGAAUAUAUCAUUACGUGACCUUGCUAUUUAUAAUUGAUCUAGUCGUACAUUUUGAUCCUCCAUCAUAUAUGAACAUUUUACUCCACCAUGUGAACAUAUAUAUAUUGUCGUCUACCAUAUGGACUAAAUUUGAAUCAAUUUUCCUUAUUUGAAUACGAUUGUUGUCAAGUUAUACAAUAAUUUAAAUAUUAUCUUGAUAACAAAAAGACAUGCAUAUAGCAGUAAUCAUAUUUCACUAUGAGCUACAUGUACCAUACGCUCUCCAAUUCAAAUAUCCGUAUCCAUUUUAUGUUGAAUUCAAAUCAAAGUACAUUAUUGGUCUAGGUAGCGAGAUGUUCGGGAUAAUCUAAACCCUGUUUUCAUAGGUAUAAUUUUUGGCUGAAUUGGGACAAGUUUUGGUAUAAGCCUCUUGCAAAACCAGAGAUUCUCUCAACAAGCCUCGUGGUUCCGAGAGGGGACGUGUCACCUUUGUGUGCGAAAUGAUAUACGCUGCCUCCCCCCUGAUUUUAUUUAUAGAGGCAACAUAGAACUAUAUGAGUUCCCUGUUAAAUUUUGAAAUUAUUUCGGGUUCAUUUGGCCUUUUUAUACAUUAAUUGAGUUUCUGGACUUUUAAUGUGCAUAAUCUAAAUAUGAAUUGCAUGCACAUGCUCCGGUGCACCAAAGUGGGUUGAAAAAUCACAUGUGUGUCCUUGGUUUAAUUUCUAGGUCCCAUGGAAGAAAUGAGAAUGAAAUUCAAACAUCUGGGCGUCAUGACUCUGCCAAGAACAACGAGAAACUUAGAUUUUAAAUUCAUGUAAAUCCAAAACUCGGCUGAAAAUCAUGAAACUUGGCAUGGUGUCAUGUCAUGGCACUAACAUGUUGUGGUAAAAAAUUGGGCUGAUUUUGAAGCUCGUGGUUCUAAGAGGGAACAUGUCACCUUUGGUCAUUUAAUGUGCAUAAGUCAAAUUUGAACUACAAGCACAUGCUCUCGUGCACCAAUGUUGGUUGAAAAAUCACAUUUGUGUCCUCGGGUGAAUUUCUAGGUCCCAUGCAAGAAAUGAGAAUAAAAUUAAAACAUCUGGGCAUCGUGGCUCGGCCGAGAACAUUGAGAAACUUGGUUUUAAAAUUCUUGUAAAUUCAAAACACGUCUGAAAAUCAUGAAACUUGGCAUGGAUGUCAUGUCAUGGUACUACCAUGUUGUGGUAAAAAAAUGGCCGAAUAGGAACAGAUUUUGGUAUAAGCUUCUUGCAAACCGAAGCUUCUCUCAAGAAGGCUCGUGGUUCUGAGAGGGAACAUGUCACCUUUGAGUGCGAAACGGUAUACGUUGUCCCCCUUGAGUUUAUUUACAAAGGCAACAUAGAACUACAUGAGUGCCCUGUUAAAUUUUGGAAUUAUUCCGGCUUCGUUUGGCCUUAUUUACACAUUAAUUGAGUUUUUGGUCAUUUAAUGUGCAUAAUUCAAAUUUGAACUACAAGCACGUGCUCCCGUGCACCAAAGUUGGUUGAAAAAUCACAUUUGUGUCCUCGGGUGAAUUUCUACUCCCAUGCAAAAAAUGAGAAUAAGAUUUAAACAUCUGGGCAUCGUGGCUCGGUCGAGAACAUUGAGAAACUUGGUUUUAAAAUCAUGAAACUUGGCAUGGUGUCAUGUCAUGGUAGUACCAUGCUGUGGUAAAAAAAAUUGGCCAAAUAGGAACAAAUUUUGGUAUAAGCUUCUUGCAAAUCGGAGCUUCUCUCAAGAAGGCUCGUGGUUCUAGGAGGGAACGUGUCACCUUUGUGUGCAUAAUUCCAAUUUGAAAUACAAGCACAUGUUCCAGUGCACCAAAGUUGGUUGAAAAAUCACAUGUGUGUCCUCGAGUAAAUUUCUAGGUUCCAUGCAAGAAAUGGGAAUGAAAUUCAAAAUUCUGGGCGUCGUGGCUGGGUUGGAAACAUUGAGAAACUUAGUUUUUUAAUUCCUGUAAAUCCAAAACACGCAUGAAAAUAAUGAAACUUGGCUUGGUGCCAUGACAUGGCACCAACAUGCUGUGGUAAAUUUGCAGUCCGAUUUGCGAAGGCGCACACAUUAACAAUCAACAGAGUCAUUUUGGAACAAGUGCUGUCACGUUACAAUCGGAAACACAAGUAUUAUUGAAACCCUGGGUGUUCUACUUACUAGUACCAUUUACGUGCCGCCACGUGUCCCCAUUUUUUAUUAGCUAGGAGGCGCCGUGCAGGGUAGCUAUUUGAGUACGAGAGGCGUGCGAUCAGACCACUGGGCGUGCUUAUCGGGACGAGAGCCCUUUGACCUCCAUCUGCCGUCCACCUCUCUCCCAAGGUCUCCAUUAAUGGCUCCCGAGCCUCUGUUUAGUGGCGUGGCUAUGUCUCACUCGACUGAGAUUUAAGAGACAAAAAAGAAAAUCUGAAUGCACGGAUCUUAAUGUAAGAUCCGACGGACCUAUAUAGCAUCUACUGUGACUUAUAGCAAGACUGAUGAAUAUAUAAGGACAAUUUUUUUUGAUCAAAGAAGGGCUUGCCCCUUCUGAUUUUCAUUACUGAAAACCACCACAAUUCACAAGAAGUUCAGCACAACUCCAUCCUAACACGAAGGACUAAAAGCUACUCCCUCCGUCCCAUAAAAUAAGACUCUUUUUGACACUAGUAUAGUGUCAAAAAACGCCUUACAUUAUGAGACGGAGGGAGUACCAGAUUGAAAUCGCAACAUCCCAAGAGGCCAACAAAGGCCAAACAUCCGCGCUAGAACCCAACAUUUCACAACCGACGACACAAUCCACAUCCUAAACCGAUUAUUACAUCAAAAGAAACCAGGAAACUGAAGGAAGCCCAACAGCAACUAGAAGAACAGCAACGCCAGGGUCGCCCCAGCAAGAGUUUUCUUCAUUCCAGCCUCGCAACACUCAUCUUCCACAAAAAGAUAAGGAUGAUUAAUUGUCUUACAUAAUUACAAAGAUAAUUAAAAAAGCCACAUGCGGCUACGCCCGAAAUACACAAGGGCAAAAGAAGAAGGAAGACAAGGAUCUGGCUUGCUGAUCUCUACUUUCUUGAUGCGUUGCUGCAGGCCGCAGGAACUAGUCUCCGCGGCGAGCGGUGAUGAGCUCUUUCGUGUCCUCAAGACGCUGCUUGAGAACAUCCAUGGAUUCCUCCACUAGCCUUUGGCGCCCGUUGUGGAGCAUGUCAUUCUCGUCCAUAAGUUUCUUGACGAUGACGCCGGUCCUCUUCAACAAGGCACUGGUCUCCUGCUGGUCUACACUUCGGACGAUCUUCUCCCUCAGCAGGUCGUGCUCGGCCCGGAGCCUCUCAUUUCCCUCCCUUAAAUGUCGGAUGAUGCCGGUAGCCUGUUCAAACGAGGCUUUCACGUCGUCCUGCAACCUCGCCAAGCCAGAGAUCUGAUCCAUCUGGCUAUGGACGAUCGCAUGCAUGCGCCUGUAACAGUCAUCGCCUGCCCGCGAGAAAUUUUCCCAGGCCGCCGCGGCGUAGUGGGACAUCUCUGCUGCAUUCGUGGCGCGGCGGGACAUCUCUGCUGCUUCCGCCGCGCGGCCGGACCAGUCUGCUGCAUCGACGGUGCACCGGGACCUCCGUGCUGCUUCAGCGGCGCGGCGGGACCUUUGUGCUACUACUUCUGUGCGGCGGGACAUGUCGGCUGCUCUCGCAGCGAGGCGGGACAUCUCUCAUGCUUCCACUUCCAUGCUCGCCUCUCCCUGGUGGCAAUCUCUUGACCCAGAACUCACGCUGGCCAUGGAAGACGCAAGGGAAGGAUGCUGAAUGACUUGUUUGUUUUUGUGGAUGAGGAGUUGAGGAGGAAUGUGUAGUCAUCUUGGCAUACUAGUAUUUAUAACCGAGUACUAAUACGCUCCUAUGUGGGAAACAGUUUAGGUUGUGAUCGGUGUGAACAGGUUUGGAAUUCAAUAUAGCGUGGUACUAAUACGCUCCUAAGUGAGAAACCAUUUAGGUUGUGAUCGGUGUGAACAUGUCUGCAAUAUAGCAUGGAGUAAUUUGGAAUGUGAUGAGACGCAAGCUCAAAAUUUAUAAAUACCCGCGUGGCGAGUGAGGGAGUCCUGGACUAGGGGGUGUCCGGAUAGCCGAACUAUCAUCAUCGGCCGGACUCCAAGACUAUAAAGAUACAAGAUUGAAGACUUCGUCCCGUGUCCGGAUGGGACUUUCCUUGGCAUGGAAGGCAAGCUUGGCGAUACGGAUAUGUAGAUCUCCUACUAUUGUAAACCGACUCUGUGUAACCCUAGCCCUCUCCGGUGUCUAUAUAAACCGGAUGGCUUUAGUCCAUAGGACGAACAACAAUCAUACCAUAGGCUAGCUUCUAGGGUUUAGCCUCCUUUAUCUCGUGGUAGAUCUACUCUUGUAAUACCCACAUCAUCAAUAUCAAUCAAGCAUGACGUAGGGUUUUACCUCCAUCAAGAGGGCCCGAACCUGGGUAAAACAUCGUGUCCCUUGUCUCCUGUUACCAUCCGCCUAAACGCACAGUUCGGGACCCCCUACCCGAGAUCCGCCGGUUUUGACACCGACAUUGGUGCUUUCAUUGAGAGUUCCUCUAUGCUGUCGCAAUCAGGAGGGAUGCCUUUUCCCGUCUUUAAAGACGGCGCCGUCAUCAAGGGAGCUUUGGCCACCGGCCAAACUAUCCGGCUAGGCGGUUUUCUUAUGACCGCCUGUUCGGCCGCCGCUCCGACGAUGACCUCUCAGGUCAUCAAAAGCGAUCUUCACAUCAACUCGGAAUUCACCGAGCAGCUAGAUCCGAUGGAGCUCUCCUCCGUAAAUGAGCUCUUGGAUCGCAUCGCCGCCCUGGGAGUCGCUACAGACUAUGAUCAGAUUGGGCUUAAAACCGAUCUGAGAGAAAUUAACUCUCCCCAGGCUACCCACCACGUUGAUGUGGUAGAGGAACAACGCGGCGACUCUUCUUCUAUGUUAAAGACCAGUUAUGUCCGGAUUCCCGAUCCCUCCAUGCCGGAUUCCCGCGGAGGGACGGACGUCAAUCAAGUACUAAACCUAAAGUCGGGCAUCGGACCAGAUUUGUUGGAUAACAUCCAGCAAUCCAAGCUUCCAAAUUCAGAAACUUUUCGGCCUUUGAGCCUCAGAUUGGGCGGGGUUCCGAAUUUAAUUCCGCUUGCCCACCCAAACAUAAGCGAUCUAUCUCAAAUACGACAAGAGCCCGAUGAAACAGUACAUCAUUACUGGGACAGAUUCCUCCUGGUUAUGGACAGGAUAAAGGACUGCCGUGAGGAAAGCGCAAUCUCAAUUUUCUGCAACAAUUGCACGGACAAGGGAAUCAUGAACGCCGUAAGUUACACGCUUCGCCGACCUGGCGACCAUAGUACAAAAAUACUGUGCGAUGGAGAGUGCCUGGAAAACUGAAACCAGGUUUUUGGACAAUCCGGCCCUAAACAUAACCCUAGUUCGAAAUAAAAGGGUGCGUCAUACUCAAGCACCUGGGUCAAAAACCAAAAGGAAAAAACCCCCUAAAGGGCACGGAACCAUACUGGAGGGAUGGCUCAACAGACCCUGUAAAAUCCAUAGUACAGAGGGCGCCACUCCAACACAUAGCCUUCGAGCAUGUUGGAUACUACGGCAGGUGGCCAAAAGUGGCAAAGGUUUUCUAGCCCCGGGUAACCGGCCCAACAGUACCAGUACGGUAUUAACAGUCUUCGAGACUUUCGCAUCAAAUAAUAUGCGGAAACGAACAAUCCGCAGCCUCGCCAAAGUCUACCAAGUAGCAACAACAAAUCCAUGGAGCGACACGGCUAUCACCUUCAAUGCCAGCGACGAACCUAAAUUCCGAACAGCCCGAGCACCAGCCGCAUUAGUCCUCAGUCCGAUAGUGGACGGCUUUCGUCUUACCAAGGUACUCAUGGAUGGCGGCAGCGGAUUAAACCUCAUCUACGAGGAAACCCUCCAAAAAAUGGAAAUCGACUGGAGCCGCAUUGAGCGAAGCAGCACAACCUUUAGAGGAAUAAUCCCUAGUCGGGAAGUAUGCUGCACAGGAAAAAUCACACUAGAUGUAGUGUUCGGCUCACCGGACAAUUACAGGUCCGAGGAGGUCACGCUCCAAGUGGCCCCGUUCGGCAGCGGAUAUCACGCCUUGUUAGGGCGAGAGGCAUUCACAAUUUUCCAAGCUAUACCCCAUUACGGGUACAUGAAGCUUAAAAUGCCCGGGCCCAAUGGAAUCAUCACUCUUGCCAGUGAUCCAGAUAUAGCACUCCGCGCUGAAAAUAAGACAGCCGCACUAGCCCUAGAGGCACUAUCCGAAGCCCUAGCGGCAGAGGAACUCACUGCGCUACGUUCCAUGGUGGAUAGGGACGAUGUGAUACUCGAUAAGAGAUCUAAGUCCACCUCUUUUAAACCAGCACACGAAAUAGUCAAAUUCUAGGUCCAUCCAACGGAGCCCACAAAGACGGCCUCCAUUGGGACACAAUUAAACCCUGGAAAAUUGGGACAUUUUUGCCUGGCACCCUUCAGAUAUGCCAGGAAUCCCACGCAGGCUGGCAGAACACAGCCUAAAUAUCCUAAAAGGAUUCAAGCCAAUCAAACAGGCUCUUCGGCGAUUUUCCGAACCCAAAAGACAGGCAAUGGGAGAGGAGCUAGCCAAACUCUUACAAGCCGGAUUCAUGAGAGAUAUAAAACAUCUGGACUGGCUAGCAAACCUGGUAAUGGUACCAAAAAAGGACAAAUCCUGGCGCCUUUGUGUCGAUUUCAAAGACCUUAACAAGGCAUGUCCAAAGGAUCCUUUCCCCCUCCCCCGCAUCGACCAAAUCAUCGAUGCUACCGCAGGGCACGAUUCAUUGUGCUUCCUUGACGCAUACUCCAGAUACCAUCAAAUCAAGAUGGCGGAAAAAGACCAGGCUGCAACGGCAUUCAUUACUCCAUACGGACCAUUCUGCUUCAACACAAUGCCCUUCGGACUCAAAAACGCCGGCGCAACAUAUCAGCGCAUGAUUCAGACAUGUCUGGCUACCCAGAUAGGCAAAACUGUGGAGGCAUACGUAGACGAUGUGGUCGUUAAGACCAAACACGUCGAAACUCUAGUAGACGAUUUGAGGCUUACAUUCGACAACCUCCGAGCAUAUGACAUUAAGCUCAACCCAGAAAAAUGUGUUUUCAGCGUACCAGCCGGAAAGCUCUUGGGCUUCAUUGUAUCUGGUAGAGGAAUUGAAGCAAACCCAGCCAAGAUCCGAGCUCUGUCACAAUUGGAUAUCCCAAAAGACCUCAAACAAAUACAAAAACUAACUGGAUGCGUGGCGGCUCUAAGCCGCUUCAUCUCCCGUUUGGGAGAAAAGGCACUGCCCCUCUAUCGCCUCCUCCGGCGCACCGAACACUUCGAAUGGACGGAUGCUGCCACGGCCGGACUCGAAGAAAUUAAGGCCAUAUUGGCAACAAAUCUGGUCCUGGCCGCGCCCAGCCUGGGCGAACCGAUGUUAUUAUAUAUCGUAGCAACACAUCAAGUUGUCAGCGCGGUACUCGUCGUCGAACGAGAAACAGACGGGCACAAAUUCCCUCUUCAAAAACCAGUGUACUACGUAUCAACUGUCUUAACUCCAUGCAAGUACCGGUACCCACAUUAUCAAAAGAUAGCAUACGCGGUGUUCAUGGCAUCCCAGAAGCUGCGACACUACUUUCAAGAGUGUUCCAUAACAGUGGCCUCCGAAGUACCUCUCAACGACAUUAUAAACAACUGCGACGCGACGGGCAGGAUUGCAAAAUGGGCCAUUGAGCUCUUACCAUUUGACAUAACCUACAAACCAUGGCGAGCUAUAAAGUCGCAAGUUUUGGCUGACUUCAUCGCCGAAUGGACCGAAGCCGAACUCCCUAAAGAGUACGGCGCAUACUCCAAUUGGAUCAUGCAUUUCGACAGCUCCAAGAUGUUGGCCGGCUUAGGGGCUGGCGUCGUCUUGACGUCCCCCACUCCCCCACCGGAGACACAGUCCAAUAUGUACUUCAAAUAAUGUACACGGACUCCAACAACGCAGCCGAAUACGAGGCCCUUUUACAUGGUCUCCGGAUGGCAAUCUCCAUGGGUAUUCAACGCCUAGAGGUGCGCGGGGAUACAAACCUCGCAAUAUCCCAAGUAAAUGGAGACUUUGACACCAAGGAUCCGAAAAUGGCAGCCUACCAUAAUGCCGUCCUAAAAAUGUCAGCUCGGUUCGAAGGACUCGAAUUCCACCAUAUAGCCCGGGAUAAUAACCAGGCAGCAGACGUGUUGGCACGCAUCGGCGCAAAACGCGACGCCGUCCCUCCAAACAUCUUCUUAGAGCGGCUCUUUAAGCCAUCCGUAUUAUGGGAAGAGGAGUCCGGAAAUAACAACCCGGAACCAACUGCACCACCCAACACGGAACAUUCUGACACAAUCGGUAGCUCAGCCAAUGAAAUAACACCUUCAGCCCACGAAAUAAUGGCAGUAAUUGCCCCGUGGACGGAACCAUUCCUAGCCUACUCAAUUAGGCAGGAACUUCCCGAAGACCAAAAUGAGGCCCGCUGUAUAGUUCGGCGAUCUAAAGCCUACAAGGUCCAUGAGGGAGAACUUUAUAAGAAAAGCACAACCGGAGUCCUUCAAAGGUGUAUCUCCGAAGAGGAAGGGCAAGAUCUCCUAGCUGAAAUCCAUGCCGGACUCGGCGAGCACCACGCCGCAGCCCGGGCCCUUGUAGGCAAGGCCUUCCAUACAGGAUUUUAUUGGCCAACAGCCCGGGCAGAUGCUCAGGACUUAGUCCAACGAUGCGUCGGUUGCCAGCUCUUUGCUAAUCAGAGCCACAUGCCACCCACCGCCCUCAAAACUAUACCCAUCACUUGGCCGUUCGCGGUCUGGGGGCUUGACAUGGUUGGACCCCUUAAAGGGGGAACCCACAAGCAAAAAUACUUAUUGGUCAUGGUGGACAAAUUCACCAAAUGGAUAGAGGCCAAGCCGGUUAAAACGGCAGAAUACGGACCUGUGAUAGACUUCAUAUCCGGGGUAGUGCACCGUUUUGGCAUCCCCCACAGCAUCAUCACUGAUAACGGCACGAAUUUCACGGCCGACGAGGUUAAACUCUGGUGCAAAAACAUGGGCAUCAAGCUCGACUACGCUUUAGUCUAUCACCCUCAAACUAACGGUCAAGUCGAACGAGCAAAUGGUCUAAUCAUGAGCGGCAUUAAACCCAGAUUAGUGCGGUCCCUCACGGAAUCUAGCACGCACUGGGUAGAGGAGCUCGACUCCGUACUUUGGGGGCUGCGGACCACGCCAAACCGCACUACCGGAUUCACACCAUUUUUUAUGGUAUACGGCACAGAGGCAGUUUUGCCCUGCGGUAUAAUUCAUGACUCACCUCGCGUGCGCAUGUACGAAGAAAGAGAAGCCGAGUUGGAUCGACAGGACAGUUUGGACGCCUUAGAGGAGGAGCGCGAUGUGGCAAAAUCCCGUUCCGCAUUCUAUCAGCAGCAGGCUCGAAGAUAUCAAAGCAGAGAAGUACGGGCCAAAACUUACAAUGUUGGCGAGCUAGUUCUACGCCUGCCGGACAAGAAAAAGGACAAACUUAAGCCCAAAUGGGAAGGUCCCUUCAUCAUCGACCAAGUCCUUACCGGCGGUGCAUACCGUCUACGCAACGCAUCUAACAAACGACUCGAGCCGAACCCAUGGAACGCAGCCAGUCUCCGAAGAUUCUACGCCUAGCGCCGGACUCAAAGUCCGUCUCCUUCCUCCGUCCACUUUUCAUAUUUUUUCGCUGUCUUUUGUUUCCCUCCUUUUUCCUCCCUCUUUCAGUAAAAGCCUUUGAGGGCUGACCUGCGCAUUGUUCGCACACACUUGAUGUGCUACUCGCACUCAUUAUACCUGGGGGCUUCUUUAACAGAAGCUUAUUUAUACGGGCUUCAUGCCCAACACAUGUGUCAUACUUCCGCAUGUACCUUUUACUCACCAUUAUAUGCAUCGAUAUGACUUAAGUUUUGGCCAAACUGGGUUGCCUGGCUCCUGUGCUUACCCCUACGUUCCCGAUUGUUCGGCUAGGAGGUAAAGGGAGCACCUCUGCGAUUGUUACUGCUGGGUCAGCCGGAUGUGUACCUCAGACUGGGUGAAGCCGAAGGCUAGCAUUCUUAAGGGAAUAUUCAGUCGGUGACUUGAAAGAUGAUUUAUUACUUAUUUAUUUAUCUGCCCCCAGAUGCUUUUUUCUGCUCUUUUCGCAGUCCGGACAUGCACUUUAGGGCAUGCCUCCCAGGGAAAGGAACCCCUAACGGAACUAUUCUCCCUGGAAGAUGUUUCUUACUAACCAUGUAAUAUAACAUAGCUAGUUGGGCACUUGUCUGAUAAAGCACUUAUGACCCCUAUGCCUGGUCUCCAUGCAUGCCCCGGUUUUUGUAUAACCGUGAGGGUAUUCGAACACACUCCGGACUAUUGGGUCCCGAGGUUGAAGCGAAAAGGUCCGCAAAGACAAACAAUCUACAAUCCGGCUAGAAGGCAUUCUACAUGUCAUUUUAAAUUACAUCGUCAAACUGACUGAUUGUACUCCUCUUCAAUCCCAUCUAACAGGCUAUCUAGUUUACAUUCCCAUUGGGAAUAUUUCGCGGCCAACUCUACUUGGCCGUACAUCAGGCUCACCGGGAUCUCCUUCCCAUCGGGCCCCACAGGUCCGACCUCGGCCAUGUGGUUUGGAUCAGCCUUCGUGUACCGCGUCUUCCCCAUGGCCCAGGCCUCCCUGGCGCCUUGACGGCAGGCCGAUAUCUUCCACAGACGGAAGCGCUGCCGUACUCUCUGAAGCUUCUCAGCAAGCCCUCCAAGACCCUCGGGUAGGGAGACGGAAGGCCAUAAGGCCUGAACGAUGCCGCUCAUCGCCUGCCGGACAUGUUCGUGCAGUUGCAGUAGCUCGGGAAGAAGGUCACUCGUGGAACCAGGCAUUUCCUCCGCCGGACGACCCGUGAGCACACCUACAGACACAUUUCUGUCAAUCGACUUCCUCGCCGAACUCUUCUUUUCAAAAGAGUUUGCUCAAGCACUUACUGUAAAUGCCGCGAUGAAGCCACCGAUUCUCCUUUACGGAGUUAGACAGCUGGACCCGAACAUCUUUUAGUUCUUCGCCCAGCUGGGUGUUGGCAUCUUGGAGUUUGUUUCUCUCCUGCUGCACCCUCAUAAGCACCUUCUCGCCGGCCUUCAGCUGGCGCAAUAGAUGUUGUUUGUCUGGAUCUAGUCCGGCACCCUCUGCAAUAUUAUUGUCAGACUAAACGCACACGCCGCACUUCAUAAACUACUUAUCUUUUCGGAAUAUGUCUUACCGGAGGGGGUCUCUGUGGCUCCCCCGGCGGCGGCUAGUGCAGCCUCAAGUUGGGCCUUGCAUUCUUGAAGCUCCUGGGACAGGUGGGUAUUCUUCUCCGUAAGAUCCUGCAUAACAAAUGAUCCUUAAAUCAGUUAGUUUAACUAUUUUAAGUCUCGAGGGCUACUGGCAUAUAUAACUAUUAUAAUUCCUCACCCGUAUGUCUUUCACAUACUGCUCUGUGGCUCUGGUUAAACCAUCUUGAGCAGCACGGAGGUGCGCGUCUCCCGCAUUAAAGGCAUUCAACACCUCUGGGGAGAAACACGCGUCACAAAGAACUGUCUGACGGCGCCUGUGAUUCAUGGCGCUCUCCACCUCAGACCUGGUGGCGGACAACCUGUCGGCAUCCUCCGUUGGAGGAGCAUCCGGCUCGCGCCUUGCGCUCGCCUCCCCCUCCUGACCAGGUGUUGGAGCCUGGCUGGCGGAGGCUUGGUUGGCAACCUCUCCAUGCACAGUCCGGCGAGCGCCCUUUCUCUUGGAAGAAUUAUGAGCAUUAAUAUACCUCCCAGGAGUCUUUCCCUUAAAGAUAAUGGUGUGCCAUACCUUUGCGACGAUGUUUCGAUUCGCGCCGCACUCCUCUUCUGCCUGCUGGGCCGCACUGACCCUGGUUGGUCAGCCGCCGCGGGCUCGGCUUCCCGCUGUAAAGGCACCUCCUGCGAAGCACCGUUGGUACACGGUGGUAAGAAAUAAGCAUUAAAAAAGUAAUGGUGUUAGGACUUCGGUCAUACUCACCUGGGAAGCCGGAGAUAAACCGAGGUAGUCAGCCGCAAUGGCGACUAGAGCAUUGUCUAUGCUGAGUUGGUGGAACACCCCGUCAAUCAGCUCCACCAUUAUGUCCGGAUCCUCUCCGGAGGCCGGAUCAAGGGCUCUUCCCGGAUCCUCGGGUUGUGGAGUCGGGCUUUGUAUGCCCUCCACAUCCCAGCGCUGUUCCUGCGUCAAAAUCAUAAAGUAAGACACUUAACUUUGAAAGCACAGAUCGGAUAUAUAAACGUCCGCUUACCCAGCUCCGAGGGUUAUUCAUGGAGAAUCCAUUCAAUAGACUCGUGCAGAGGAAGUCCUCCUUCUCCCCCUUGUACAAGCCGGACAAGAUCUUCACCAGAUCGGCGGCCGAUCCCGGCCCCUUGCGGCCAUGACGGGUGGCGUCAUUCUCCCCGUUGAAAUCCCACAUGGGGUGGCCCCUAUAUUGAAGCGGCUGCACCCCUCGCAUAAUGCAUGUGGCCAUGACUCCAAUCAUGGUCAAUCCGGAAUGGGCCAGUAACCUUAUCCGGCCCAUCAGAUAUGGGACGCUCCUAUCAUCUUCCCGAUGAGGGCUCCGCGGGCGCCAACUCAGGUGUUUCUUCAGAGGAGCGUUGCUAAACUCUGGGAGGCCGAUCCAAACUGGAUCCGGCAGCGGGGCGUCUUCCAUAUAGAACCACUCCGAAGGCCAGUCUUCGGACGCCUUCUUCGGGGUACCGGAUAGAUAUCCGGUCCCGGCGAUGCGCCAUAUUUCGGCUCCGCCCACUUGAUAUAUCGACCCCUCGUGAGAACGGGGUACGAGGCAAAACAAUCUCUUCCACAGCGCAAAAUGGGGCUCAAUGCCCAAGAACAGCUCGCAAAGAGCUACAAAGCCCGCGAUGUGCAAGAUGGAGGCAGGUGUGAGGUGGUGAAGUUGGAGUCCAUAGAACUCCAGGAGCCCCCGGAGAAACGGAUGCAUGGGAAAUCCGAGUCCCCUUAUUAGGUAGGGGACGAAGCAUACCCGCUCUCUUUUGGAGGGAUUGGGGACGCUCUCCGCCUGUUUCCCACCCUUGUAGGUGGCCAGUCCGGCUCGAACCGGAAUCAUAAAGGCUGGGGGAAGGUAUCCCUCUGCUUGGAGCGUCACUAACUCGCUAUGCGGGACUGAACAUCUCCUCCAAUCUCCUGGCUGAGGAAUGGGAGCGCGAGAGGAGGAGCCGCGUCGAAUGUCCAUGUUGGAAUGGAUUUUUGUCAGAUGCGCUUCGAUGAGUACUUGCGGAAGGAGGAUGAUGUGGUUCAGAUCUGGAUCCUCGCCUCUCUUAUAGGCAGCUUAUUCACGCAGAAUGUAAAAAUACCCUGGCUUUUCGCAUUCAUACGACACGUGGAAGAGGGCCAUUAUUGGACGUGGAAGCCAAGGAGCACAACAUUUAUAAGGAAACCGGACAGUAUUCGGCAAACACAUGGAAUAUGGAGGAGAACCCGCCUUGCAAACGCCAAAGACAAUAUACGCGCCGGACUCGUCGUCAUUGAAGCCUGGUUCGGGGGCUACUGAGGGAGUCCCGGACUAGGGGGUGUCCGGAUAGCCGAACUAUCAUCAUCGGCCGGACUCCAAGACUAUGAAGAUACAAGAUUGAAGACUUCGUCCCCUGUCCGGAUGGGACUUUCCUUGGCGUGGAAGGCAAGCUUGGCGAUACGGAUAUGUAGAUCUCCUACUAUUGUAAACCGACUUUGUGUAACCCUAGCCCUCUCCGGUGUCUAUAUAAACCGGAUGGCUUUAGCCCAUAGGACGAACAACAAUCAUACCAUAGGCUAGCUUCUUGGGUUUAGCCUCCUUGAUCUCGUGGUAGAUCUACUCUUGUAAUACCCACAUCAUCAAUAUCAAUCAAGCAUGACGUAGGGUUUUACCUCCAUCAAGAGGGCCCGAACCUGGGUAAAACAUCGUGUCCCUUGUCUCCUGUUACCAUCCGCUUAGACGCACAGUUCGGGACCCCCUACCCGAGAUCCGCCGGUUUUGACACCGACAACGAGCUCUAGGCUAGUCCUUUUUUCAGACGCGUUAAACCUAUCUCUCGGGACUUCUCGCACGCACCAUCCUGCCACCCACAAAAACUUGUACUCUGAGUUUAGUAGUACGUUAUACAGGAAGAGAAGAGGUGCAUGCACGCACUCGUCCUCUCACACACACGUCUAUUUUUUCUCGAAAAGGAGGAUGAUGACCCCCGGCCUCUGCAUCUGGGAGUCACACACGCAUCUGUAGCUACGAAUUGUAGUGUUCUCAACCAUCCGAUUGGCUCUAUCAUGGAUGUACAUAUAUACUAAAACAUGUGUAGAUACAUCUAUAUUUUGACAAAUGGAAGGCGUGUAUUAUGGAACGGAGGGAGUGCUUGUCAUCAAAAUCGAUAAAAAGGGAUGUAUCUAGAACUAAAAUACGUCUACAUAUAUCUCCUUUUAUCCAUUUUGAUGACAAGUAGUACUUCUUACCCAAAGGAACUUUAUAUCCAACAGACACAAAAUAUCCGUUCGACUGUUGGAAAUUACUGAUCUGAUGUCGAAGUAAUUGCUGCAUCGCCACCAAAACCCACCAUUUCUUAAGCUAAAGUAGACCAAGGUAAUCCCUAUAUUAGCAUAUUACUAAGAUAAACAGAAGGCACUAUCGAAACAUUUAGGACGUGAGCUUGUCAAUCUGAAUGUGGAGGGACACAAGCUUAGCCCCGGCCAGCAGCUUGGGCAAAACUGUCAAGAAGGUCAGCUCCUGCGCGUCGACGUCGCCGGGAUCCUUGCUGCUUGUCACCUCUAUUUCCACCUCGACGGCGUCGGUCAUGCCUUUGGGCUCCCCCGGCGGGCCGUUCGCCCACAGCUUGGCCCAGUAGUGCGGCAGUGGAGACGCCCCCGCUCUGAUGCAGACGACCAACACGGCGAUAGGCGCGCCGAUGUCGAGCAUGCCGCCGACCAAGAAAAAUGCGUGGCGGUCCUCCUCCGUGAACAGCAAGAGCCGUGGCUCCGAUAGUGGCACUUGCAGCUGGAGCACCUUACUGUACUGGAUCCUGUGCACAUGCAUGGGAUGCGCGUUGCUGAUGUGGUGGUAGAGCGCCGGAGGCGGGCCUUCGUAGCCGCAGACGGGCACGGGGCAUUUGCAGGGCGCGAGCGGACACACGCUCUGGUGAUCGGCGAGCUUGUGGUAAGUGACGUAGAUCCCACAACCUUCGUGCGGGCACUCCACCCUCAGCGACGAAACGACGGUGUCCACCGCCGUGUUCCGCACAUCGAAGCCACCGCCGCACUCGCACUUCUAGCACUGCCGCUGGUUCCCGAGGCGCUCGACGCGGCAGUCCGCGCAGGCCAGGUGCCCUCCCUUGCACUGCAGAAAUCAAUCGAACAUCACAUCAAUCAAGAAACCUGCACCUUGCUCAAUCAGCCGAAUGGACGAGGUGUAUUCGAACCUCAUACAUUGGAGGCGUCAUGGGGCGGAGGCACAAGGGGCAGUGGAGCACAGUGAGGUCCAUCGAGACCUUAGUGAGCUCCCUCGUCGGUUCCUGUUCCGUCUGCAUGAUCUCGCCCUCCUCGUGCACAACCAUCUCUCGCUUGGGCCGGGGCAUUACAAAGCUUUACCAUCACAUAUUUUAUACUCUACGCAUAACUGUCCUCCCGCAUACCAAGGAAGGCAAUAGUUUGAGUUUUCUGGACAAAUUUGCCCCUGCGCAUGAGUAAGCUGCAUAAAUAUCGACAGUAAAUGCGCAUGCAAUGGUUGGCUGGUCCUCCUUCCUUUUCGCUUGAGUUGGCUUCCCAAGUGGUCAAGCCGCAUCCGGCGCUGCACGCGUUUGCCUGUAGCCAUUUUCUACUUUGGAAACUGACGCGAUUAAUGGGGGCAGAACUAAUCGAGCGGGGGCACAGAUGGAAACCAACGCGGACGUGCAGACUAAUCUGAGAAAAAUAAGAAAAAGUUAUACGCAAAGUAAAAGGAAUCGGAGGGAGUACUACUUCAAGGUGCAUUAAAUCAACACAUGCAAGUAUCAAAAGGAGAGUCACGGCAUGCAUGCAUGCAUUAUAAUUAAUGCAUCGGUAACCCUAAAUUAUUGAAAUAUAUCGAGUGCAGUGCUUUGAUGUGUCGCAUCAACUUGUACAUCAACGAGAAGUUUGAUUAUCCUCUCCCUCACGGACUUAACUGCACCUGCCUUUGGCUGUAUGACAGGUUGGCCACACACCUGUCGGGCCCACCUGUCAUACACACAAAGACAGGAGCGUCCCUCCCUCGACCAUGAGCGUGGUGGCUGGCAAGACUAGGAGAAGCUUUCGCUACACACUCUCCCUCCCGCACGCGGUGGACAUGCAGCAGUUCAAUCGGUGUUAGAUGGCCAGAAGCGUACUGUAGUACUCCUCCAGUGCAGUAGUGCACCAUCAUUGUUCGACUUCCCGUAGAGGCGAAGAGCCAAGCGCAGCCCGUACGCUCGUGUGGCAGUUUCAUGUGUAGAGUAGUCUAGAUAGCAUGUACCAUUCCUGUAAGCUUAAAAUCGUUGGGGUCGGCUCCAUGCGAUGUGGCCGUCUCGAAGUUUUUUUUUAAAAAUAGUCUUCUGGCCCUACCUGUCACCCUGGUGAUUGUAGUUUGCACGUUCAUCUAGUCAAGACAGGAAUAUAUAUUUUAGUUUGUUUUUUUCGAAAAGGGGGGACUCCCCGGCCUCUGCAUCAGAACGAUGCAUACGGCCACAUAUAUUUUAAUUUUGUGGUGGGUAAAAGUUAGAGGUUGCGGCAAAUAUAUUGUACACUGCGGGUCUUUCAGCCAAGUUUAGAGGCAAGCAUGUGGGGCCAGUGCUAUGAUGUGUCGCGUCAACUCGUAGAACGAGGAGAAGCUUGAUUUUACUACAUGCCUUCUCCCUCGCCAAUACGCGCUGUUGCUCGCAAAGAAGGACAUGCUUUUGCUUAGUAGUACUUCUACAACAAGCUAUCUGUCCCGCUCGUGGUGGACGGACAUGCAGCAGUGGAUUCGACAAUGUAGAAGCAGUAGUAGUAACAUCAUUGUUCGUCUUCUCGAAGAGGCGAAGAGCCAAGCGCAAACCGAACAUUGCAGUUGUGAACAUUGGAGCAUGCAUAUAGCCAGGCUCUUGCAUGAGACAAAAUUGCUAUGUGAGCCCACUAUUGUAGUACGUACAACUACUUGCUAGUAUAGCCCUAUAACCAGAAAGGAGUAUUUGCCCUUCUAGAGAUUUCAACAAGUGACUAGACUACACCGAGACGGAGUACAUAUGGAGCAAAAUGAGUGAAUCUGCACCGUAAAUAAAUACGUACUAGUUCUAUCGUUUUCCUCUCCGAGGUGCACAAUAUUGAGUAUACUGACUAGUCUCUUUUUGACACACAUUUACGUUUUUUUUGACACAGUACAGACGCAAGCGCUAAUAUACACGCACAUACACUCACCCCUAUGAACGCACACACGCACGGCACUAUCAUCUUGAAAUUUACGAAGUCACCAUAGGCACCUCCUCGUCGACGGGUCCAUAGGUGCUUGAAUGCCAAGGAGGAAGAGGGUAGCGGUUCCCGAGAUGUUGAACGGUCAAUGAUGCAUCCUCAAUUACAUGCAGAGGGAAUUAAUUGGAGAAGCAUACUAGAGCCAGCACGAUGUGAAUGCAACAGAGUUUGGACUCUCAUAUAAUAAAGGCGCCCCACCACUCCAAUCCAUCUACUCCCAAGUCUCUGUGCAACACUGCUCACUCCAAUCCAAGACCAAGUGACCAGAAGCCACAAGCACCUAUGGAGCCGAUGGACGCAAGCGGCAAUCGGCUGUGCCAAAUCAUCCAAGGCGCCGGCCCUCGGCCCCGCACCGCGAAGCGUUUCCAGACGGUGCUGGCGACCACAGGCAUCGUAGCCCUCGCCGACGCCGGCUUCGCCUCUCGCAUGGACGACAUGAUGGUCAACUCCAUCCGCAAGUUCACCGCCGUCAAGAAGCGCGCGGACGACCUUGCCGUACUGCUCCAGCCCGCGCGCCCAGGCUCCUCAUUGCCUGCCACCCUCAUCGGCCUACAUGGUGACAAACUCUUUCAAGCCCUGGUGGCCCUUGAGGUGCCAGAGGUCGCGAGGAAGAAUGUGCACCUUGAGACCGCGCUCGCCGCGCAGCGCCUCGCCAUGCAAGAAACCGUCGACCUGCACAUCCACGUCUACGAGGAAAUCAUCUACAUAGGCCACUACAAGGCAAGCGAGGACAUAAAGAUGUUGGCCUUCUUCCAGCGGCUGGGAUCUUUGGACCUGGCCACGAAAGCCGCUGCUACUUAGGCGCCGUUUGAUGGCCGGCGCCCUGAGUCGAGGAGGUGGACAUCGUCGAUGGAUGCAUCUCUUCUUCUUGCCUCCUGUAACCAGCACUGCAUCGCCUCGUGGUCUUAAUGUUUUAUUAGUAUAGUACUCCCUCUGUUCCAAAUAUAAGUCUUUCUAAAGAUUACAGCAAGUGACUACUACAUACGGAGCAAAAUGAGUGAAUCUACACUCUAAACUAUGGCUUCAUACAUCUGUAUGAUGUAUUCCAUUUGAACUAGUAUCUAAAAAGGCUUAUAUUUAUGAACGGAGGGAGUAUAUGGCAUUUUUUAUUCCAGUCGGAACAUUUUCACUGUGAGGUGGGGCCGCAGUUGAGCAAACCCACCCCACCCACCGGGCGUCGGCCGAGUUUAGAAUUAGAAGAGAGAAACGAGGGAGGAGAGCUAGCUGUAGCACGGACGGUGUUGUCAGAUGGGACUCGUGUUUAUAGAAUAGGAGUAUACUGAGCACUCGUGCCAUUUUUUUGAGGGAAAAAUUAGUCGUAUGUCUAGUACCACUAGUUGGGUGCGUGCGACCUAUAGCUGUCAUCAUUUAGGUCUCCUUUUCGAACCGCGGCUAUGCUUCACAGUACAUAUUUUUUCACGCAUUUAUCCUCCUAUAUGUACUCCUAGGCUAUUUCCACGUGCUCCCAUUCGCCGACAUGUGGGACAUAAAGCAUCUGGGUCGUAGUGCAUGCACGACUCGGAGCAUAUGCCGGGGUACUUUACAUUUCAGACCUCACGAAUUACAUGCAAACCCCCCGCAGAAGAAUAAAUAAAUCAAUGAAUUACUACUCCCUCCGUCUAGGUGAGUAAGUCAUCUUAGGUUGUGCACCGUGACCAAGGAGGAGGGAAAACGAGAGAACUUAAUAUUCAUUUGCUAAUUAAUAGUAUUGCAUGCAAUGAACUAACCACUACAUGUCGUGUUUGGUAGUCUCAAGUCAUUAAAAGCAUGCACACCCCACAUCUCUUAUUGGUUGAUAUGUCAAGAAACAAGAAACGAUGUAGAAUUUAAUGCACCGCGCCUAAGUGUUUUGGGAUUAUUUGGUUUUCGUAAGAUGACUUACACACCUAGACGGAGGGAGUACAUGAAACCGGAUUAUUUUCGUGGAAACCGGAGCACGUUCAUUAAAUUUUGGACAUAACACAUUUAUAAAAAAUGGCCGGACCUAAACCAGUCUAAGGGCCUAUUUGAUUUUUCCCAAAAAAAGGGCCUCUUUGAUUCGUAGGAUACUGAAAACACAGGAAUGGGGAAAGUAUGAUGGCGAUGAACCGAGACGAGGAGAACUCUAACUCAGUUAGAGGUUAGACUUAGAUUCUAACCCUGAACUAACUCUAAACCAAAGAGGUGUAUGGAUGGCAGGGUUAGAUUGACAAUAAAUGCUCUAUCUCAAUCAUUUGACUACUUUGGACCCUAUUUUUAGUCAGACUAAAAUAAGUCCCUAGGAUCCAAGCACCCUCUUGGUGUGGCCGGCUCUUCUGUGGCCUCCUCCCGCUCACAAUUGACAUAAACGAACCAUCUAUACAAAUCAAGCAUGCAAAACAUGAUAAUUUUUACUUUGUCCAUACAAAUGAGAUAUCCCACUUAAACAUACAAGUCGUCAAUCAAGCUUCACAAAAUAAAAAAACAC
RNAcentral lists this long non-coding RNA (63494 nucleotides) under Triticum aestivum (bread wheat). RNAcentral's name for it is "long non-coding RNA (TAES_LNC003679)". Lineage: Eukaryota; Viridiplantae; Streptophyta; Magnoliopsida; Poales; Poaceae. The record is from RNAcentral.